GGGCUGCUAACUGAGAACAGUAGAUCAUGCAGAUGGACAGCGAUCAGGUGACUUGCUCUAUCUGACGUCCAUUGUAUAUCCAACACAGGGGAUUGGCAACAAAAUUUCUUGGUAGAAACACAGGGCAACGGUUCGAACGGGCUUGGCGAGCUCGUUCUCUCACAUGACGCAUCGCCGAGGAGAGCAGUGCUGCGGGACUGCCGUGGAGGACUAGCAAUGUCAAGAUAGAGGAAGGAGUGUCAGCACUGCCGCAGGUUCCUUUCCGAUUAUCUCGCGGACCGCUCGAUACCAUCAUAAGUCAGUAGUAAGCUUUCUGAUUGUAAGGCUGGAAGAUUGUUUUUUCAGUUCUUUGCAAUCGUUAGUGCUGUGUAAAUGGUUAGUGCAUCUACAAUUCAACUGAUUCUGAAUUUUAAUGCUAGUGGUAAAUAGUUUCUGUUCUGAAUGGUUCUGAAUUUCAUUGACAAGUGUUAUUUGAUUAUUUGGUUUUUGCUUGUUUAAUCUCUUCCCGCAUGACAUGUGGAUUAGGAAGAUACUUACUUGUUAUGACACCGGCCACUCCUGGAAUCUGCACUUGCCGGCCUNNNNNNNNNNNNNNNNNNNNNNNNNNNNNNNNNNNNNNNNNNNNNNNNNNNNNNNNNNNNNNNNNNNNNNNNNNNNNNNNNNNNNNNNNNNNNNNNNNNNNNNNNNNNNNNNNNNNNNNNNNNNNNNNNNNNNNNNNNNNNNNNNNNNNNNNNNNNNNNNNNNNNNNNNNNNNNNNNNNNNNNNNNNNNNNNNNNNNNNNNNNNNNNNNNNNNNNNNNNNNNNNNNNNNNNNNNNNNNNNNNNNNNNNNNNNNNNNNNNNNNCUAUUUUUUUUUUUUUUUUUUACAAAAUCGUCAGUGUAUGAAUUUGAUGAUGCAAAGGGUGGAACUUCAAGAUCUACUUUCAUGGUUCAGUCUGCAUUUGUCGAAUCGAUCCCUGGGCCUAGAUCUCAAGGAGUAUCUUGACACCGCACAAUGAGCAUGGAAUCAGUGGGGGAAGUUCAUGAGCCCUAGAGUGCUGCGAGGUGGAAGACGAAGACGCCAUGGAUGGAUUGAGUUGUUGUGCUACUGCUGGAAAUUCUCCGGAUGGGAACGAGGAGUGGGUGGGAGUUGGGCAUUUAUUGCGGUGUGGAGAGUGGCCUGAUUCCCGCCGUACAGCUCCAAGCGCAAACGACAAAGCACAUGAACGUGGUCGCUCCGUCCGUCUGAACCAACGCCAUGGUACAUGACAGUUGCCGCCAUCUGUACCGUCUGUACCGUCUUUCGUCUGGCUAACGUCGUUACUUAUUUAAAUGCAUUAGUGGAUAUUCUAUAUGGUCCAGUACGGUACAGAAUACUCGCAUACGUGCGGACCAUCGACGGGUCGAGAUUCCGGGAUCAUCUGGACCUGGGAGCCGAAUUGCUUUUUCGUGACAAAUCUAUAUGAUGUGAAAAACAUAUAUACAAUGAUGAAUCCAUUGAUAUUGAUUUGGCUUCAGGCUUUGAGUAGCGCGUGUUUUUGUUUGUCAAGUUGAUCGUAGUAGAAUGCUUCGCACGUGGUAGAACGUGUGUUCGGUUUCGUUUGUGGAUGCAUCAUACUAUCAGUUUUACUGUCCGUAUGUUUACGUACGCAUGUGUUUAGGGGCCGGGCAAGUAAUUUGUUCGCCGCGAAUUAACAUAUAAUUGGAUGUUUAGAGGGACAAUGAUAUUUCUAAUCCAUCCGAGUUUAAAUCCUGAUGCUCGAUUAUUUUAGAAUUUUCGGUGAUGCGUUUUCAGUGGGAGUAUACGUUCCCGCCGCCGACGAGACGCCUACGGGGACUUUAUAAAUCUCAAGGUGAUAUGCCGCCUCAAUCUCUCGAAGGUGUUCAUAGAGGUGUGUGUGCGCGUUCAUAAGCGUUCAUAAGGGUGUUCUUCUUCUUCUUCUUCUUCUUCUUCUUUUUUUGCUUCAACCGACUAUGUUUUUUUGCUACUACCGGCUUCGUUUUUUGCUACGACCGAGACUGGCGAGUGUGGUGACCAUGGCCGGCGAGGAUGGGAGGCACUGCUCCAAGCAACAAUCGACUCAAGGAGAUUUUGCUACAUGCUACAACCGGCGUUGCAAAUUGCUACUACGGUGUCCCAUCCGGCUACUACUGCCGCCGCGGUUUGCCGCAUUGCAAAAUAGCAUGUAUUUUUUUCUGGAAACGACGCUUUAACUUGUUGGAACGAGCCGAGCAAUUUGUUGCAAUGGUGAGGUGCGAACGACGAGAUGGAGACCGACGGGCAUGAAGCAGCGGUGAGUGCACCGACGAGGAGCUGUCGUCGCCACCAGUGCUACAGCCGUCGCCACGGGAAGCUGCAACCGUAGGCGCAGUUGUUGCAUUGGCAGAGACUGGAGACGGGGAUGGCCGCCGAGGGCAGCGAGCACGGGGUGGCUCGGGGUGACUGGCUAGCACAUGUGGCCGAGGACGAGGGUGCAGUGGCCGGGGGCGAGCACGGCGGCCAUGUUUUUCCCUGGAGUCUCCCUCAUAUAGGAGGUGUACACGAGCAUGACGAAGAAAGAUAGGUCGGCCGAAAUUUGGGUCGGUGCAUCGACGCCUAUCACUGCCCUAUUUUUAAUGUGCAACCGGGUCUCGAUGCACAUGUAGGGCGUGUUUGGUUGCCGUCGGCUACAGUACCUGCGUUGCAUACCCUUCUCCACUCAGCUUGGCUCUGAAAAAACAGUCUCAUAUGCGACAUUUGCAAGUUGUUUGGUUGCCUGCAUAUGGACUUUCUGCAUUAGGGGAUCAACUUUGGCACGUUGUUUGGUUGCCUGCACUGUCUUGACGCAUACAACUACACGUUGUUUGGGUGGUUGCCCGCAUGGGGUAUGAUUAAGAGCUAGCCCUUGCACUUAGCACACAUGGUUAAGAGCUAGCAAAGGAAGGGGGAGAAGAAAUGCAGUGUGCGUCAGACCAUGGCGAUUGCGGUGGAUAGUGGUCGUGGCGCCAUGUCCGACAUGACGAGCAUGGAGUCAUGGGCGAGCGACCCCGUCGGCGGCACGACGAGCGACACCGUCGGCGAACUAGUUGCGGUGCUUGUGCAAAGACAGUCGACGGAGGAGGAGAAUGCAGUGCUCGCGCCAUGGUAUCGCCAAUGCAGUGGACGAGAGAGGAGGCCGAGAUGAUCGACGCUGGAAACGACUCCAGUGUAGUAGGGCGAGAGAGAGGAGGCCAAGAGGAGGCCAAGAUGAUCGACCCCGUCGGCGGCGCGGCGAACUGCAGUGUGCGCGCCAUUGCAGCGUCAGUGCAGUAGGAGGACGACAGAGAGUAGGCCGAGAUGCGUGACACCCGGAAACGACUCUUGUGUAGUAGGGCGUGGGCAAGGAGAUCAAGGGGAAGGGCUUCAGCGUCGAGAGAGACGAAUAGGAGGGCUCUGAGCAGAGGACAGAGGAGCUCGACAUGGCGGCGUCAGUGCAGUAGACUGUUGUUCAAGGAGAGAUGAAGCUACGAUCGUCGACACCAAAAACUUACAACACGAAUGUUGUGCGGAACUGCGAGAUUAUGCUGCUGGUCAAAGAAAAUUUCAAACGAUCGAUCGUGCGCGACGAAUCUGACAAAAUUCGUCCAGAACAGCUCCAAACGAGAACACGAAAUAAAGAACUUCCAGCCAACAAAACUACGAACCGAUUGCCUGAAUAGAACCGUAGCAUCGAGGUGCAUCUUUUUCGUGUAGAGCUUACCUCGAAUCGAAGCAUCGUUGUGUAGAUCAAAGGGACAAGGAAGAGAGGAGAUUAGAGACAAGCUUACUUGAGGUUGAAGAAGACCUCAGGUAAUCACCUCACAUCCCUCCCAUCUCCACUCCUGCAAGGGCCCGCUCGCUUGCGCUCGCCUCGGCCUGACUCGUGAGAAACUGCCGAUUCGAGCAUUUUCAGCGAGCCAGCCUCUAGGCUGCUUUAAGAAGCGUGCGAUGAAGGUCCAAUAAUGUAUACAGGUAACCAAAUAGGCCGAAUUCUUUCCGCGCGGAUCUGGUUGAGCCUUAUGCAGGCAACCAAACACGUCCGGAGCCUUCAGUGGGGUGUGGCUCUGUGCCGCCUAGUGCGAGGCCGCCUGCUUCGUGGCUGAAGCUUUUUCUAAGACAAUCGUGGCAGUGGCUCGCGUCGUCCCGAAGGGAGCAUGCUGUGGGCCGACGCAGUAGCAAUGUGGGUUGUAAUGCCGAUGUUACUUUAGUUUUCUUUAUUCUUUUAUUUUAAAUGCACAUAUUUCCGAAAAGUUACUUAAGAAAAUAAAAAACAAGUUUUUGAAAAACUGUUAACAUGUAUAAAUAGAAAUUGUUAGAAAGUUUUUAGCAAUGUUGAUAACUUUCAGAAUAGUGUUCUUGACAAUGAUUUUUUUUCCUGGUGUUUCACAAAAAGUAUAUAAAGUUUAAAAAAUAAUUUUACAAUAUAAAAUAAUAAUUCAUACAAUUAAAAAAUGUAUGUGACAAUUUACUGAAAUAUUCCCGCGUUUCAACUAAAUGUUCAUGAAAAUUGUAUACGUUCAAACAAUUGUUUAUUUCCAUUCAAAAAUGUACCUGGCAUUUUAACAAAAUAUGCACGUGCUUCCGAGAAUUAUUCUUGACAAUGCAAAGAUGUUCUAGUGUAUCAAAAAAUGUAUGAUUUUUUUAAAUGUUUGUACAAUGUAAAAAAAAUCGUACCAAUAAAAAAAUGUAGAUACAUUUUAUAGUAAUAUUACCGCAUUUCAAAAAAAAAAUGUUCGUGACAUUUAAAAAAAUGUUAUAUACAGUGUAAAAAAAUGUCCGCAUAGGUUCAGAACAUUGUUUAUUUCCAUUCAAGAAAAUGUAUCUGACAUUUUAAAGAAAUAUUCACGUGUUUCCACAAAAUGUUCUUGACAAUGAAAAUAUGCUCCGGUAAAAUGUAUCCAAUUUUUUAAAAUGUUUUUACAAUUUAAAUGUAUUCCGUAACAUUAAAAAAAAUGUAGGUGACAUUUUAUGGAAAUAUUACCACAUUCUAAAAAAUGUUUGUGACAUCUAUAAUACCUGAAUAGUUCAUCUCCAUUAUCAUAUUUCUCUUAUGCAACCUAUCCACAUUACCACAUAUGACCCACACAUGCCAUCUCGGAAAAUUAGCUCCAACACCACCAAAUUUUCAUUCAUUUUGGUGAUGCCACACACAUUAUUCUUUUUUUUCAUACGAAGACCUUUUUCUACCGCGUCGCUUCGUUAUUUUCUUGUCCAAAUGCUCACGUAUAUUUCCCAUUGAAGGCCCAUCAAACGGCUUGCUGACCCCUAAAAAAACAUCUUGCUGUUCUCUUUUUUUUAUUCUCCACAAGAGUGUUUUCUCCCGACGAUUCCUAUGGACCGUCCCCUCAAUAACUCCAACAUCUAAUUAUUUCCACCGCUUCCAUCUUCUUCUCCACCAAAUCUCCAUCCUCUUCAUCUACUCCACUAUUUCUUUUGUAAAAGAAACCAACGGAUUUAUGAUAUCCUCUUCAUCUUCUUUCACCGAAAAGAUAAUAAGUUGCUCUCGAAAGAUGUCAUAUUUUUUCCUUGAAGCCUCUACUGCCAUCUGUCGUCGAGCAGCGAUAGUUUGUUAGCACCCCAUGGGUUUACCACCAACUGUUGGACGAGGAGAAUGUAGAGGAGGCGUCAACACCAACCUCCCGAGCAUUGGCAAAGCGUUGUGGGAGGUGGUGCGCUGCGACCCCAAUACCGGUAAGUCCAUCUUUAUUGUUGUCCCUGCCUUGCCGACCCCACAUCAUGCCCCCAGCCGCCUCACAAGGAUCUCUUUUUGGAAUACCGGCACUCAAAGCAAGUUGAUUGUUGGAUGGUACCUUUGUUAUACCUAAACCAUGUUAGUUACUCACCUUUGAGAACUCCCUUUUUCAUCUUCUGUUGAUUAACAUAAAAGGUUGAACGCUUACUUGAAUUGCUAUUGUCAAAAUUUAUAAAAAUCAAGAAGCUAACAUUCUUAUUUCAUAUGAAAAUUGCAGUUCUCUCACACUUUCGAAUGAAAAAAGUUUUACAUCUUUCUUAGAUUUUACCUUUGUAAAUGUCAUGUAAUUAUCUGCUUGCUACCUACAAAUUUUGUGGACUCACUAUUCCUCGACGCCCCCUUUAUUACCCCAUAGCAUAUUACUAUACAAUGCAGUGUCAAAUAAUAAAGUUGACACAAUGAGAUAAUUAAGAUAAUCUCCUGGUGAUCAAAGCAAAGUUAAUCAAGUAGGUUGACAAAUACUUUGUCCAUAUAGUUUAAGAAAACCUACUCUACUAACAAUUGAUAAAUUACUCUUUGUUGUCACAUUGUUCUUCUUGAUUCUCAAUACCAGUUUGGCAUUUUCUUCUUUCUUUUACAAGAAAAGCCUUAAGGUCCAGCAACGCGCGGGGUCUAAUCUAAUUUUAUAAAAUGAUUAUGCACAGUGUAAAAAAAGUUAGCAUAGGUUCAAAAAAUAUUUAUUUCCACUGAUAAAAUGUAUGUGACAUUUCAUAGAAAUAUUCGUGUGUUUUCAAAAAAUGUUCCGGUGUUUCAAAAAUGUAUGCAAAUUUAUUAAAAAUGUUUAUAUAUUAUAAAAAAAUCUUACAAUGAAAAAAGUAGGUGACAUUUUACAGAAAAAAUCCCAAGCUCCAAAAAACACGUUUGUGGCAUUUUAGAAAACAAUUAUAUACAGUGUAAAAAAUGUCGGCAUAGGUUCAAAAAACAAAAAAAAAAUGUAUUCAAAAACUUUACACACACACACACAGGACGAAAUCACUGUUUUGACCUUGUCAACGUUUAUGGUCACAAACUGAACCCGACGUGAAAGUAUUUCAUGAUUUGACCCUUUUAGAAACGCCAGGGCCUGCGGCGUUUCUGAUGAACAUGGAAACGCCGACCAAGCUAGCGUUUCUUACCUGGCCCACUGCCAGGCCGAGUUGGCGUUGCAAGCUGACGUGGCGGGUUUGAAACACCGAGCCAGCUAGCGUUUCUAGAAACGCCAGCACCAAUGGCAUUUCUGGUGCAGAUAUUUUAGGUGGUCGUGCGGCUUGCACCCACCACUCACCACUCAAUCUCUUCUCCCCCAUUGGCCUAUCCCGAGCUCUUGCCCUUUUCCCCCUUUGUGUCCCUCACUUAGCCCCUCUCAAAUCCUUGCAAAUCGAUUGGGUUGGUCCGUGGAUCCGGUGUCAUUUUCGUUCGUUGAGGUAACCUCCUUCAUCUCACAAAUUUUUAUUGGUUGGAUUUGCCCAUUUGGAUUGAUUUGUUCUUGUUGGUCCUAACCCUAGUUUUGAACAUGGAUGUAUAAUGUGAUGUUUUUAGUAUUGUUGUUCCAAUGAUGUUGCAUUGUGAUGUUGUUGAGCAUACCUUAUUGUUUGGUUUAUGACUAAUGUUAAGAUUUAGGGUUAGGGUUAUGCCUAAUGUUAAGAUUUAGGGUUAGAGUUAGUGGUUUUGUUAGCAAUGUGGUAUAUUUAGCAUUGUACAUUUUUAUACUUAUGUUCCCCUUUUUUAGAUGGACAAGAUUGUGAAUAUUCAUUAUGUUGACAAAGAGGCAUUCAUGAAUGUGGAUAUUGUUGACAAGUAUGAGGAAGUAUUGAUAUUUCUUGAGACUCCUAGUUAUGAAGAGGUUGUGGAAGAAACACGGAUAAGAUUAAAAUGGGUGGAUGCAAGUGACCAAGUUGAAUUAGUAGGAAGAUAUUGAAGGAAAUAUGCCCUAGAGGCAAUAAUAAAGUUAUUAUUUAUUUCCUCAUAUCAUGAUAAAUGUUUAUUAUUCAUGCUAGAAUUGUAUUAACCGGAAACAUGAUACAUGUGUGAAUACAUAGACAAACAUAUAGUCACUAGUAUGCCUCUACUUGACUAGCUCAUUAAUCAAAGAUGGUUAUGUUUCCUAACCAUAGACAUGUGUUGUCAUUUGAUUAAUGGGAUCACAUCAUUAGGAGAAUGAUGUGAUUGACAUGACCCAUUCCGUUAGCCUAGCACUUGAUCGUUUAGUAUAUUGCUAUUGCUUUCUUCAUGACUUAUACAUGUUCCUGUAACUAUGAGAUUAUGCAACUCCCGUUUACCGGAGGAACACUUUGGGUGCUACCAAACGUCACAACGUAACUGGGUGAUUAUAAAGGAGUACUACUGGUGUCUCCAAAGGUACAUGUUGGGUUGGCGUAUUUCGAGAUUAGGUUUUGUCACUCUGAUUGUCGGAGAGGUAUCUCUGGGCCCUCUCGGUAAUGCACAUCACUAUAAGCCUUGCAAGCAAUGUAGCUAAUAAGUUAGUUACGGAAUGAUGCGUUACGUAACGAGUAAAGAGACUUGCCGGUAACGAGAUUGAACUAGGUAUUGGAUACCGACGAUCGAAUCUCGGGAAAGUAACAUACCAAUGACAAAGGGAACAACGUAUGUUGUUAUGCGGUUUGACCAAUAAAGAUCUUCGUAGAAUAUGUAGGAGCCAAUAUGGGCAUCCAGGUUCCGCUAUUGGUUAUUGACCAAGAAUAGUUCUAGGUCAUGUCUACAUAGUUCUCGAACCCGUAGGGUCCGCACGCUUAACGUUACGAUGACAGUUUUAUUAUGAGUUUAUAAGUUUUGAUGUACCGAAGUUUGUUCGGAGUCCCGGAUGUGAUCACGGACAUUACGAGGAGUCUCGAAAUGGUCGAGACAUAAAGAUUGAUAUAUUGGAAGCCUAUGUUUGGACAUCGGAAGUGUUCCGGGUGAAAUCGGCAUUUUACCGGAGUACCGGGAGGUUACCGGAACCCCUCGGUAACCUAAUGGACCUUAGUCGGCCUAGUGGAGGAAGAGGAGAAGGGGCCAAGGGGCAGCCGCGCACCCCUCCCCCCAAGUCCGAAUAGGACAAGGAGGGGGGCGGCGCCCCCCCCUUUCCUUUCCCCCGUCUCCUCCUUCCCCCCAAGUCCUAGUCCAACUAGGGAAGGGGGGGGGGAGUCCUACUCCCGGUGAGAGUAGGACUCCUCCGGCGCGCCUCCUCCUAGGGCCGGCCGCACCCCCCUUGCUCCUUUAUAUAUAAGGGGGCAGGGGGGCACCCUAGAAACACAAGUUGAUCUACGGAUCGUUCCUUAGCCGUGUGCGGUGCCCCCUCCACCAUAUUCGACCUCGGUCAUAUCGUCGCAGUGUUUAGGCGAAGCCCUGCGCCGGUAGAGCAUCAUCAUCGUCACCAUGCCGUCGUGCUGACAGAACUCAUCCCCGACACUUUGCUGGAUCGGAGUCCGGGGAUCGUCAUCGAGAUGAACGUGUGCUGAACUCGGAGGUGCCGUACGUUCGGUACUUGGAUCGGUCAGAUCGUGAAGACGUACGACUACAUCAACCGCGUUGUCAUAACGCUUCUUCUUACGGUCUACGAGGGUAUGUGGACAUUACUCUCCCCUCUCGUUGCUAUGCCAUCACCAUGAUCUUGCGUGUGCGUAGGAAAUUUUUUGAAAUUACUACGUUCCCCAACAGUGGCAUCCGAGCCUGGUUUUAUGCGUAGAUGUCAUAUGCAUGAGUAGAACACAAGUGAGUUGCGGGCGAUACAAGUCAUACUGCUUACCAACAAGUCAUACUUUGGCUCAGCGGUAUUGUGAGAUGAAGCGGCCCGGACCGACAUUACGCGUACGCUUACGCGAGACUGGUUUCACCGUUACGAGCACUCGUGCUUAAAGGUGACUGGCGGGUGUCUGUCUCUCUCACUUUAGCUGAACCGAGUGUGGCUACGCCCAGUCCUUGCGAAGGUUAAAACAACAUUAACUUGACAAACUAUCGUUGUGGUUUUGAUGCGUAGGUAAGAAUGGUUCUUGCUAAAGCCCGUAGCAGCCACGUAAAAUUUGCAACAACAAAGUAGAGGACGUCUAACUUGUUUUUGCAAGGCAUGUUGUGAUGUGAUAUGGUCAAGACGUGAUGCUAUAUUUUAUUGUAUGAGAUGAUCAUGUUUUGUAACCGAAGUUAUCGGCAACUGGCAGGAGCCAUAUGGUUGUCGCUUUAUUGUAUGAAAUGCAAAUGCCUUGUAAUUGCUUUACUUUAUCACUAAGCGGUAGCGAUAGUCGUAGAAGCAAUAGAUGGCGUAACGACAACGAUGCUACGAUGGAGAUCAAGGUGUCGCGGCGGUGAUGAUGGUGAUCAUGACGGUGCUUUGAAGAUGGAGAUCACAAGCACAAGAUGAUGAUGGCCAUAUCAUAUCACUUAUAUUGAUUGCAUGUGAUGUUUAUCCUUUAUGCAUCUUAUCUUGCUUUGAUUGACGGUAGCAUUUUAAGAUGAUGUCUCACUAAAUUAUCAAGAAGUGUUCUCCCUGAGUAUGCACCGUUGCGAAAGUUCUUCGUGCUGAGACACCACGUGAUGAUUGGGUGUGAUAGGCUCUACGUUCAAAUACAACGGGUGCAAAACAGUUGCACACGCGGAAUACUCAGGUUAAACUUGACGAGCCUAGCAUAUAACAGAUAUGGCCUCGGAACACGGAGACCGAAAGGUCGAGCGUGAAUCAUAUAGUAGAUAUGAUCAACAUAUUGAUGUUCACUGUUGAAACUACUCCAUCUCACGUGACGAUCGAACAUGGUGUAGUUGAUAUGGAUCACGUAAUCACUUAGAGGAUUAGAGGGAUGUCUAUCUAAGUGGGAGUUCUUAAGUAAUAUGAUUAAUUGAACUUAAAUUUAUCAUGAACUUAGUCCUGGUAGUAUUUUGCAAAUUAUGUUGUAGAUCAAUAGCUUGCAUUGUUGCUUUCAUAUGUUUAUUUUGAUAUGUUCCUAGAGAAAAUUGUGUUGAAAGAUGUUGGUAGCAAUGAUGCGGAUUGGAUCCAUGAUCUGAGGUUUAUCCUCAUUGCUGCACAGAAGAAUUAUGUACUUAAUGCACCACUAGAUGACAGACCUAUUGCAGGAGCAAAUGCAGAUGUUAUGAACGUUUGGCUAGCUCAAUAUGAUGACUACUUGAUAGUUUAGUGCACCAUGCUUAACGGCUUAGAAUCGGGACUUCAAAGACGUUUUGAACGUCAUGGACCAUAUGAGAUGUUCCAGGAGUUGAAGUUAAUAUUUCAAGCAAAUACCCGAGUUGAGAGAUAUGAAGUCUCCAACAAGUUCUAUGGCUAAAAGAUGGAGGAGAAUCGCUCAACUAGUGAGCAUGUGCUCAGAUUGUCUGGGUACUACAAUCGCUUGAAUCAAAUGGGAGUUAAUCUUCUAGAUAAGAUAGUGAUUGACAGAGUUCUGUAGUCACCAUCACCAAGUUAGUAGAACUUUGUGAUGAACUACAGUAUGCAAGGGAUGACGAAAACGAUUCCCGAGCUCUUCGUGAUGUUGAAAUCGACGAAGGUAGAAAUCAAGAAAGAGCAUCAAGUAUUGAUGGUUGACAAGAUCACUAGUUUCAAGAAAAGGGCAAAGGGAAAGAAAGGGAAACUUCAAGUAGAAUGACAAGCAAGUUGUCACUCCCGCGAAUAAGCCCAAAACUGGACCAAAGCCUGAAACUGAAUGAUUAUACUGCAAAGGAAAUGGUCACUGGAAGUGGAAAUGCCCUGAAUAUUUGGUGGAUAAGAAGGAUGGCAAAGUGAACAAGGGUAUAUUUGAUAUACAGGUUAUUGAUGUGUACCUUACUAGUGUUUAUAGUAGCCCCUGAGUAUUUGAUACUUGUUCGGUUGCUAAAUAUUAGUAACUCGAAACAGGAGUUACAGAAUAAACAGAGACUAGUUGAAGGGGAAGUGACGAUGAGUGUUGGAAGUGGUUCCAAGAUUGAUAUGAUCAUCAUCGCACACUCCCUAUACUUUCGGGAUUAGUGUUAAACCUAAAUAAAUGUUAUUUGGCGUUUGCGUUGAGCAUGAAUAUGAUUUGAUCAUGUUUAUUGCGAUACGGUUAUUCAUUUAAAGUCAAAGAAUAAUUUUUGUUCUGUUCACAUGAAUAAAACCGUCGAUGGUCAUACACCAAACAAAAAUAGUUUGUUGGAUCUCGAUCGUAGUGAUACACAUAUUCAUAAUAUUAAUGCCAAAAGAUGCAAAGUUAAGAAUGAUAGUGCAACUUAUUUGUGGCACUGCCGUUUGGGUCAUAUCGGUGUAAAGCGCAUGAAGAAACUCCAUAAAGAUGGAUUUUCGGAAUCACUUGGUUAUGAAUCAUUUGAUGCUUGCGAACCGUGCCUUUUGGGAAAGAUGACUAAAACUCCGUUCUUCGAAACAAUGGAACGAGCUACUAACUUAUUGGAAAUAAUACAUACCGAUGUAUGUGAUCCGAUGAGUGUUAAGGCUCGUGGCAAGUAUCAUUAUUUUCUAACCUUCACAGAUGAUUUGAGCAGAUAUGGGUAUAUCUACUUGAUGAAACAUAAGUCUGAAAUAGUUGAAAAGUUCAAAGAAUUUCAGAGUGAAGUGGAGAAUCAUCGUAACAAGAAAAUCAAGUUUCUAUGAUCUGAUCGUGGAGGAGAAUAUUUGAGUUACGAGUUUGGCCUUCAUAUAAAACAAUGUGGAAUAGUUUCACAGUUCACGCCACCCGGAACACCACAACAUUAUGGUGUGUCCGAACGUCGUAACUGCACUUUAUUGGAUAUAGUGCGAUCUAUAAUGUAUAUUACCGAUUUACCACUAUCGUUUUGGGGUUAUGCAUUAGAGAUAGCUGCAUUCACUUUAAAUAGGGCACCAUCAAAAAUCCGUUGAGACGACGCCUUAUGAACUGUGGUUUGGCGAGAAACCAAAGUUGUCGUUUCUUAAAGUUUGGGGCUGCGAUGCUUAUGUGAAAAAGUUUUCACCUGAUAAACUCGAACCCAAAUCGGAGAAGUGCGUCUUCAUAGAAUACCCAAAGGUAACUAUUGGGUACACCUUCUAUCACAUAUCCGAAAGCAAGAUUCGUUGCUAAGAUGGAUCCUUUCUAGAGAAGGAGUUUCUCUCGAAAGAAGUGAGUGGGAGGAAAGUAGAACUUGAUAAGGUAAUUGUACCUUCUCCCAAAUUGGAAAGUAGUUCAUCAUAGAAAUUAGUUCCAGUGAUGCCUACACCGAUUAGUGAGGAAGUUAAUGAUGAUGAUCAUGAAGCUUCAGAUCAAGUUACUACCGAACCUCGUAGGUCUUCCAGAAUAAGAUCCGCACCAAAGUGGUACGGUAAUCCCGUUCUAGAAGUCAUGUUACUAGACCAUGAUGAACCUAUGAACUAUGAGGAAGCGAUGAUGAGCCCAGAUUCCGCGAAAUGGCUUGAGGCCAUGAAAUCUGAGAUAGGAUCCAUGUAUGAGAACAAAGUAUGGACUUUGAUUGACUUGCUCGAUGAUCAGCAAGCCAUGUUAAAUAAAUGGAUCUUCAAGAGGAAGACGGACACUGAUAGUAGUGUUACUAUCUACAAAGCUCGACUUGUCACAAAAAGGUUUUCAACAAGCUCAAGGUGUUGACUACAAUGAGAUUUUCUCAACUGUAGCGAUGCUUAAGUCUGUCCGAAUCAUGUUAGCAAUUGCCACAUUUUAUGAAAUCUGGCAAAUGGAUGUCAAAACUGCAUUCCUUAAUGGAUUUAUUAAAGAAGAGUUGUAUAUGAUGCAACCAGAAAGUUUUUGUCAAUCCUAAAGAUGCUAACAAAGUGUGCAAGCUCUAGCAAUCCAUCAAUGGACUGGUGCAAGCAUCUCGGAGGUGAAAUAUACGCUUUGAUGAGUUGAUCAAAGCAUAUGGUUUUAUACGGACUUUUGGAAAGACCUGUAUUUACAAGAAAGUGAGUGGGAGCACUACAACAUUUCUGAUAAGUAUAUGUGAAUGACAUAUUGUUGAUCGGAAAUAAUGUAGAAUUAUUCUGCAAAGCAUAAAGGAGUGUUUGAAAGGAGUUUUUCAAAGAAAGACCUCAGUGAAGCUGCUUACAUAUUAAGCAUCAAGAUCUAUUGAGAUAGAUCAAGACGCUUGAUAAGAUUUUCAAUGAGUACAUACCUUGACAAGAUUUUGAAAUAGUCCAAAAUGGAACAGUCAAAGAAAGAGUUCUUGCCUGUGCUGCAAGGUGUGAAAUUGAGUAAGACUCAAAGCCCGACCACGGCAGAAGAUAGAAAGAGAAUGAAAAGUCAUUCCCUAUGCCUCAGUCACAGGUUUUAUAAAGUAUGUUAUGCUGUGAACCAGACCUAUUGUAUACCUUGCUCUGUGUUUGGCAAAGGAAUACAAUUUUGAUCUAAUAGUAGAUCACUGGACAGCGGUCAAGAAUAUCCUUAGUGAGGACCAAGGAAAUACUUCUCGAUUAUGGAGGUGAUAAAAUAUCCCGUCGUAAAAAGUUACAUCAGUGCAAGCUUUUACACCGAUCCAGAUGACCCUAAGUCUCAAUCUUGAUACAUAUUGAAAGUGGGAGCAAUUAGCUAGAGUAGCUCCAUGCAGAGCAUUGUAGACAUAGAAUAUUUGCAAAAUACAUACGGCUCUGAAUGUGACAGACCCGUAGACUAAACUUCUCUCACGAGCAAAACAUGAUCAUACCUUAGUACUCUUUGGGUGUUAAUCACAUAGCGGUGUGAACUAGAUUAUUGACUCUAGUAAACUCUUUGGGUGUUGAUCACAUGACGAUGUGAACUAUGCGUGUUAAUCAUAUACAGAUAUGAAUAUUGGUGUUAAAUCACAUGAUGAUGUGGACUAGAUUAUUGACUCUAGUGCAAGUGGGAGACUGAAGGAAAUAUGCCCUAGAGGCAAUAAUAAAGUUAUUAUUUAUUUCCUCAUAUCAUGAUAAAUGUUUAUUAUUCAUGCUAGAAUUGUAUUAACCGGAAACAUGAUACAUGUGUGAAUACAUAGACAAACAUAUAGUCACUAGUAUGCGUCUACUUGACUAGCUCAUUAAUCAAAGAUGGUUAUGUUUCCUAACCAUAGACAUGUGUUGUCAUUUGAUUAAUGGGAUCACAUCAUUAGGAGAAUGAUGUGAUUGACAUGACCCAUUCCGUUAGCCUAGCACUUGAUCGUUUAGUAUAUUGCUAUUGCUUUCUUCAUGACUUAUACAUGUUCCUGUAACUAUGAGAUUAUGCAACUCCCGUUUACCGGAGGAACACUUUGGGUGCUACCAAACGUCACAACGUAACUGGGUGAUUAUAAAGGAGUACUACAGGUGUCUCCAAAGGUACAUGUUGGGUUGGCGUAUUUCGAGAUUAGGUUUUGUCACUCUGAUUGUCGGAGAGGUAUCUCUGGGCCCUCUCAGUAAUGCACAUCACUAUAAGCCUUGCAAGCAAUGUAGCUAAUAAGUUAGUUACGGAAUGAUGCGUUACGUAACGAGUAACGAGACUUGCCGGUAACGAGAUUGAACUAGGUAUUGGAUACCGACGAUCGAAUCUCGGGCAAGUAACAUACCGAUGACAAAGGGAACAACGUAUGUUGUUAUGCGGUUUGACCGAUAAAGAUCUUCGUAGAAUAUGUAGGAGCCAAUAUGGGCAUCCAGGUUCCGAUAUUGGUUAUUGACCGAGAAUAGUUCUAGGUCAUGUCUACAUAGUUCUCGAACCCGUAGGGUCCGCACGCUUAACGUUACGAUGACAGUUUUAUUAUGAGUUUAUAAGUUUUGAUGUACCAAAGUUUGUUCGGAGUCCCGGAUGUGAUCACGGACAUGACGAGGAGUCUCAAAAUGGUCGAUACAUAAAGAUUGAUAUAUUGAAAGCCUAUGUUUGGACAUCGGAAGUGUUCCGGGUGAAAUCGGCAUUUUACCGGAGUACCGGGAGGUUACCAGAACCCCCCGGUAACCUAAUGGGCCUUAGUGGUCCUAGUGGAGGAAGAGGAGAAGGGGCCAAGGGGCAGCCGCGCCCCCCUCCCCCCCUUGCUCCUUUAUAUACGGGGGCAGGGGGGCACCCUAGAAACACAAGUUGAUCUACGGAUCGUUCCUUAGCCGUGUGCGGUGCCCCCUCCACCAUAUUCCACCUCGGUCAUAUCGUCGCAGUGUUUAGGCGAAGCCCUGCGCCGGUAGAGCAUCAUCAUUGUCACCACGCCGUCGUGCUGACAGAACUCAUCCCCGACACUUUGCUGGAUCAGAGUCCGGGGAUCGUCAUCGAGCUGAACGUGUGCUGAACUCGGAGGUGCCGUAUGUUCGGUACUUGGAUCGGUCAGAUCGUGAAGACGUACGACUACAUCAACCGCGUUGUCAUAACGCUUCCGCUUACGGUCUACGAGGGUAUGUGGACAUUACUCUCCCCUCUCGUUGCUAUGCCAUCACCAUGAUCUUGCGUGUGCGUAGGAUUUUUUUUGAAAUUACUACGUUCCCCAACAGAUAUGAUGUUGGGUCGGCACACAAGUGUCGAAUGAAGACAAUGCCUAUCAAGUCCAAUUUGCAUUGGGUUGCAUAUAAGGAGGUUCUUGCAUCCUCGGCAGUCAAGUCACUAGAAGUAUUUGCAAGUAAGGUGGUGAAGGCUCCUCUCUUUCAUGUUGACUUGAACCAAACCUUAGUAGAUGAUGUGAGCCCGGUUAGUAGUGUGCCGCCUAUUGUUGAGCAUAAAGUUGAAGCUGAAGCCAAUGAGUAUCCCCUAUAUGAGUUCGGAGGUAGUGCACCGAUGAAAGAUGAUGGUGAUGACUCCGACGAAGAGUAUGAGAGGCAUCACAACAUUGUUGGUGACGUAGAGGACGAAGUAAGGCAUCAGGACAUGGAUCCUGACAUUAUCUAUCAGCGUGCUUGUGUGGAUGACUCGGAUGAUGAAGGCCCGGUGAAUGAGUUGGACGAGGAUGGCUUGACUGAGAAAGAAGCAGAGUGGUACACAAAAUUCACCGGUAGGGAUCACAAAGUUCCCUUGUUUUGUGAUGUUAGCCUUGCAGAUAAGGCUAUAGUUGACGGUGGCAUGAGCAAGACAAUUGAGGCUAGACAGUUCCCAAGUAGUACACCCGACGCGAUUUCGAUGUCGUACGUGAGGAAAGGUUUGAUGUUCGAGCACAUGCUAGAAUUCAGGAUGUGGUUGUGUGAGUAUGCUGUCAAACACCACAGGCCUUUCAUAGUUGUUCACUCAGACUGCAACAAGCGAUACACCGUGAAAUGUGAGGUAGAAAGAUGCAAAUGGAAAGUCAAUGGAAGACUCACGAAAGAUGGUUGGUGGAAGAUAACUAGUUGCAAAGCCACUCACCAAUGCACACCGCCGGCCGUAGAAGCACGGAAGACACACCGUCAACUAACCUCGGAAUUCAUUGGUUAUAAAUACCAGAAACAUAUAGCCGAGGAUCCAACCAUUAAAGUGAAGUUGUUGAUGAGUUGGAUUGAAGAUAAGUUCGGAUAUAAGGUCAAGUAUGGGAAGACAUGGAAGGCCAAGCAAGUCACUCUCAGAAUGUUGUACGGUGGAUGGGAAGAGGCUUACAACAUGUUACCCAGGUUGCUGGGAGCGAUGUCUUAUAAAAACCUAGGAAUGUACCACUAUGUCCAAGAUAUUGAAGGAGUGUUCCGUCGUGCCUUUUGGAUGUUUGGCCCAUGCAUUGCAGCUUUUGAGCAUUGUCGACCGGUUCUGUCUAUAGAUGGGACAUUCUUGACAGGGAAAUACAAGGGCACACUCAUGAUAGCAAUGGCACAUGACGCUAACGAUCAGGUGUUGCCUGUGGCAUUUGCUUUGUUCUCCGUGGAGAACCAAGACAACUGGGAAUGGUUCAUGAGACUUGUUAGGAGCACGGUCAUUCCUCCAAAUAGGGAGGUAUGCAUCAUAUCCGAUCGCCACCAAGGCAUAUUGAAGGCCGUGUAUAUUCAUAUUCCAGGGCAUGCAAGGCUUCACCACCGAUGGUGUAUGAGGCACUUCGUUGCAAACUUUUACAGAGCUUGCAAAAACAAGGAUCUUUGCAAGGAUCUUAACUCCGCAUGUGUAGCCUUCUCCAUUAAGUCAUUCACAACACGCUUGAACAAAAUCUAUGAGAAGGCAAACAAAGGUGGGAAAGAUUUCUUAGAAAGGAAUAUUGAUGAGCGACACAAGUGGUCACGGGCAUGUGACAAAGGAGGCAUGAGAUAUGGUGACAUGACAAGCAAUCUUGUUGAGUGCUUCAACUUUGUCUUGACGGAAACGCCAAACCAUUGGGCGUUGUUCUGCACUUUGGCAAUGCCAAAGGCAACGGCGUUGCGGACCUACAUAGAAACGCUGAACUUGGCUUGGCGUUCCUUUAAGACAGAAGUUGCCUGGGACACGUACAUGAAACGUUGUGGUGUACGGUUGCAACGCCAAAGGUCCUGGCGUUUUUGCUCUACACAGAAACACUUCACGUGGCUUGGCGUUCCUUUAAGACAGAAGCUGCCUGGGACACUUACAUGAAACGUUGUGGUGUACGGUUGCAACGCCAAAGGUCCUGGCAUUUCUGCUCUACACAGAAACGCUUCACGUGACUUGGCGUUCCUUUAAGACAGAAGUUGCCUGGGACAUGCACAUGAAACGUUUCCGUUCACAGCAGAAACGCCAGGUACCCCUGGCGUUUCCAGGCCACACACAAACACCAACGUCUUUGGCGUUUCUGACCUUCUAUGCAUAUCACACCAAACCAUGCCAAGUACAGCAACAGAUUAUUAGUCAAUGAUCCAACAGUUUUCACAAUAUAAAUGCCAAGUACAGCAACAGUAUAGCAAUGAGACAGUAUAGCAACGAACUUAACAUGAUCCAGCUUACAUAAUAAUUAACAAGUCUUGGUGACAUAGAAAUAACAAGUCCAUCAGAUAUAGAACUAACGAGUUCGCUCCAUCUGAAAAGCUAACUACAUUUUUAGUUCACCAGAUAUAGAACUAACAAGCUCGCAUCAGUCAUCACUUCACUUCUUGCCUCUUUUUGCAGCCAUCUUCCCCCUGUUCACGUAGCCCUCUGGAGUGUUCUGCCAUCCAGGACGUCGGAUGUUCCUUGAGCUAACUCGGCGUGCUUCUGUAGAAGGCUGAUAAGGUUGAGUUGGCUGUGGAGCAUCUUCCAUCUGUGAAGCCCCAAGCUCCACAUAGUCCGGAUCCGCAUCGAAGUCUGUCUCCUCCUCUUCAUCUUCCUGUUCAUCAAUCCGUGCUUGGCUGGAAGAAGGACGAGCGGAAGAAGCACGUGCUUGGCUCGAAGAUGGACGAGCGGAAGAAAGAACAUCCAUUCUAUACUGAGCACGUGCAUGCACAUCCGUUGAUGAACCGCCAUGGCAAGAGAGUAAAGCGACUAGUGUUCGGCAACGAUUCACAACCUUCUGCAGAGGCAAAGGCAUUGACAUGUAAAUAUGCAAAAAUAGUUCACAUGAUAUAAAAUAAAUCUUCAUAUUAAAAAGGCCUCUAACCUGUAGAGUACUCCUAACGAGACCGUUCGUUUCUCUACCAGGUGCGCGGCCAAGCACCACAUUACUAUCAUUGAUACAUCUCCAUAGCUCCGUGUCCUGAAUAAAACUUAAGUGACACACCACUCAUGAAGAAAUGACACAUGUUCAAAAAAGAGACAAAAAGGCAUACCACUCGGUCAUGCAGAGGGCCAUAAUCAGGUGCGCUCCAAUGGUCUCCCUAAUAGAGUUGUUGAAUGCACCAUCAGCAGCCUCACUUGGCAUUACUUCCAAACAAUCGGCACGAGUCCAAGCACCCUUAAGGAUAACUUUGUACUCUUUGAGAAGCCACUCCAAAUGCCUUAAAUAUGCCCCCUCGUUGUUGUCAGGUGUGUGAUCAUCUUCAACUCGGGCAUUCCUCUGAGCAUUCCACAUGUCCACCCACAUAAGAUGGUGAUCCUCCCAAUUAAUGAAAUUCUUGUUGUGUUGCCGGCUCGUCCUACAAAGCAUGAGAAGUAUCGGUAUCAAUUUCAUUUUUCAGUGGUUACAAAUUGAUUAACAUAUGGUACAAAAACUCUCACCUAUGUAGCACCACACUUGUCUCAACAUACUCCGGCGGGGUGCGUUGUUGUACUCCAAAUUGCUUCGAAACACGAUGUGGAAGAUGCCACUCCACCGCAUAAAAGCAUAUCAUGGGGCAACGCACACGCCAAAGAUGUUGGUCACGAAAGCACAUAUUGCUCAAAGGGAACUGCCUAAGUACCAUGUACGGCCUCCAAUUAACCUACAUCACAACAUGUCACUAGCCCAUGCACAACAACAAAAAACUGAAUUGAUAGCAAGGCAUUUGAUAAUUACCUGGUUGUAAGUAAGCAUGUCAAGCUCGCUUAUGUAUGCCUUGUACCGCCCCAUGGCUGCGAUACUAGACACUUGGACAUUAGCCCACGUGUAUGCGAUAGUGGGAUACCGCUCCUCAUCCCCGUCAAAAGGCCACUCCCAAGGUUCUUCCAGAGCAAUGGUCAAGUUACGACCCACAGGGAUAUGCCCCCACAUCCAAAUCUGUAGGGCCCAAACAAAACCGCCAAGACAAGAUUUCGGCUUACUCCUCAUACAUGCUCCGUCCAACUGCACAUUUAUAUACACAUUAAAAAAUCACAUGCAAAAAAAAUCUUUUAUAGAAUGAAAAUUUAUCAAAUUAGCAUUACCUGACGGUACAAGAAGGCUAGUGCCGCCGACCCCCAACUCCACUUAACAUCCAAGUUACGAAGAGGGUCCAAGAACAUCCAGGAGGCUGUGUCUCCCAUGCCGUCAGGAAACACCACUUGGGUCAUAAGAUUCCAUAAGUAAGCCCUUGCGUACCUCUCCACAACAGCCGGACUGGCAUUCUCUGGGCACUCGUAAAAAUGUUCUUGUAGCCACGAGAACAAAACACCAGAUGGCCUAAGAUCCUUCUUUGUUUCAUGAAUCCACUGGGGAGGUUCAACACCAACCAAACCUGCAACCCUUUGUCGCCACCCCUCGGACUUCACCUUCCCGGUAAGAGCCCUGCCCUCGAUCGGAAGACCGGAGAUCAUCGCAAUAUCCUCCAAAGUGACGGUCAUCUCACCAAGAGCAAGGUGAAAAGAGUGCGUCUCCGGCCUCCAACGGUCCGUAAGGGCGUUAAUGGCCGUCGAGUUCAGCCAUGGUGGUGUGCCUUUAAAGUUGAGCACAAACUGGAGAAGAUCCAUUCUUCUAAAAUAAGGCUCGUAGCGACGGCCAUACCUCAGUGACUCACGUGGGUUGUGGCCUCUCAACCGAAGUACUGGAGGAACCUACAAAAAUCACACGCACAAUUUAUAUACUUCUCUAAACUACUCACAAUAUAAUCACAAUAUAAGAAUCAAUAAUAUAGAUACAUAAUUACCUCCCCUCUUUCCGCAAGCACAACACGAUGCUUCUCCUCGUAAUAAUCAUCAAGGCCGGGAUAUUUAUCCGGCUCAAACAUCCUACAAAAUAAGGUAAAUGGAUUUGUUAUGAUAUAUGCUUAAAAUAUGACCACAUCAUAUACAAAAUUGUGUGAAACUACUACAUAUUAUCCCAAAGAUAUAAAUCACGAACCACAUUACCAACACCAAUUCUUUUCAACCUAUUUUAUCCUAAACAAUCUGUCACAACUAAUUAUUAACAAAUAAUAGGUUCAACCUAAUCCAAAAAAUGGUCUCUCUCUAAAUCCAAUACUAAACAAAUUAACUAAAAAUACUUCAACACAAUGAGUACAGCCGGCCAGGAGUACAUGUCUUCUUUCUAAACAGUAUAUCCCCAAAAUAUUCAUCAAACAAAUCACAAAUAACUCAUCUUAGGGUUCCACCAUGUUUGAAAAAAUGCAUCUACAAUAGCCAAUCUUGACUGAAAAUAAAUGGAGGAUUGGGAAGAGAAUACCUCAAGCAACUCGGGGGUGCUUCGAUCUACUCGUUUUGAUGAUCAAAAUAGCAGAUCUGGGGGAGAUUUGGUGAAGAAGAGGGAGGGGCGGCCGCUAGUUCUCGGGACGAACUGCCCGAGCGGAGAGAUGGGCUGGGUCAGGCCCCCGCGGCCCCGCGCGCAUUACUUCAUACAGGGCAGAAACGCCAGGGCCAUUGGCGUUUCUGACGUGCCACGUCAGCGAAAACAGCGGGUUCGGACUGACUGUGGGCCAGGGAAGAAACGCGAGCUACCACGGCGUUUCCAUGUUGGCUAGAAACGCUAGUUUGGUCGGCGUUUCCAUGUUCAUCAGAAACGCCGCGGGCCCUGGCGUUUCUAAAAGGGUCAAAUCGUGAAAUACUUUCACGUCCGGUUCAGUUUGUGACGAUAAACGUUGACAAGGUCAAAACAGUGAUUUCGUCCACACACACACACACACACACACACACACACACACAAUGAAACAUAAUAUUUCAUACCAACAGAAAAUUGUACGUGAUAUUUUAUGGAAAUAUUCACGUAUUUAAAAAAAUGUCCGUGUAUUAAAUACAGUGUAAAAAAUGUACGCAUAGGUUCAAAAAAAUAUAUGUCAAAAUAAUAAAACUGUUUAUAUAAUAAGAAAACAUACCAUUAGAAAAGUGUACAUGACAUUUUAUGGAUAUAUUCCCGGGUUUCAAAAAAUGUUCGUGGCAUGUAAAAAAUGUGAAAUACAGUGUAGAAAAUGUUCACGUAGAUUCAAAAAAAUAUUUAUUUCCGUUCAAAAAGUGUACUUGACAUUUAAAAAAUUCACGUGCUUCCAAAAAAUGUCCCUGAAAUUUUCAGAAAUGCUUAUACAUUUAAAAAAUAUUUGCAUUUUUAUAAAAAUCUAUUGUCAUCCAGUAAUGUACAAAGUUCAUUUCAAAAGUGUCACCGUGUAUUCAUGGAAGUGUUCAAAAGAUGUAUUUUAAAAAAUAUACACCAUGUAUUUAUAAAGUGCAUAUUGUACCAGAAAAAUGUUUCACCUGUGCUCUAAAAAUGUACAUUGUACUAGGAAAAAGUGUACAUGUGUUGAAAUUUGAAAAAUAAAAGCAAGAAAACUGACAGAGAAAUAGAUAGAAAUUAAUUAAAAUUCAAGAAAAUUAAGGAAAUAAAAAAGAAACAAAGAAACCCAAAGUAUAGCAAAGAAAGAAAGAAAAAGACAAAAAAAACUAGAGUUAAAAAACGGGUCAAAAAACAAAGAAAACCCAAAUGAAAAAUAAAAGAAAAAGGAAAAGGACAACAUCAAGGAAAAUCAGUCGAGCGAACCUACAACAACCGCUAAGAGCGACAUCGACCAACCUCGCUGAAUAGGCAAUUCACUGGUGGUCGCCCGUACAUACAUGUCUCAUGUUCAGCUCGCGAGAGCUAUAUCCCGCUUAUAGCGAGAUUAGCUUAUGUUUCGCCAGAAGGACUUUUUCCCUCCGCCUGGCCCAUUUAUCUAUUUUUUUGCGCAGGCUAGCGCGAGCGAGCAAUCGCUUUGCUGGUUUGAAUAUUUACCCUUUUCAGUUUCUUUGUUUCUUCUCCGAUUUUCUGGAAUGCACUUUUGCACCUAUAGCGUAGAAUAUAAUCAAUUAUAAACUUGCAAAUAAAUAAUACAAAUAUUAUUGCCUCUAUGGCAUAUUUUCAACAUGGCCAUGACUGAGGCCAAGAAAGUGUUGGGAGCUGAACGCAUGGAAAGAGAAGACAGUGAGAUGGAAUGAGCUGAAGAUUUUGGAGGACGAGAAAUGAAAAUCCAAGAUGGUGCCGAAGAGAGGAAGUUAAAGGUGGAGGAGCGAUGGCUUGCACUCAAGGAGGAGAGGCUUCCGAAUGCAAAGAAAGUCGAAGACUGUGCUAUCAUGUUCAUCAACCCAACCGCAAUGGAUGAUACUGCAAAAACGUUUUGGGAGCUCCCUCGUGGGAAGAUCUUAACCCAAGCGGUGGUAUUUAGUUUAGCGAGGAAGGUGUUUGAGUUCGUGCAUGUCAUUGAUUGGCCUCGAUCCGCAAUUUUGGUGAUUUUGGAUCAAACUUGAUUGAUGAUGUGAUGCCUUUCAGAUGAACUUUGCAUAUUUUAAUUUGAAUAUCUUGAUCCAUGAAACUAUAUGCUUGUUAAGGGUAUAUAUGUUAUGCAUGUUUACCUUCAAAUAUUUGAAUGAUUGAUGACAUAUUUUGCCAUUUUUUGAGAUUUAUGUGGCUAGGCUAAAAGUAUUAAGGAAAAAAUUGUUCCAAUAAGUUUAGGGAAUCGGCUAGGUCUGGCCAUCUUUAGAGGAGUACAAAUUUACUCCGAUAAAUUUACUCGGUCAUUUAUACCUCUAAAAUUUAUGGGAUCACUAGAGAUGCCUAAGUGCUUUCUCAAAUUACAAGCAAUGAACGCAACCUCAAUUGCACGGAUGGGCUUCAGGCCGGUGCUCUUGGCGAACGGUCAGAAGCAGCAUAGCUAGGUAGACCAACUACACAGAGCAGACAACUGUAUCAGAGCAUCUACAACCACAACUAGCAAAAUUUGGCCUCCAAACGUCCACGGACAACAUGUCAACAAUCAAAAAUUGGAUUUCACAAUUGCAUACCUCAUUUUUAAAUCAUCAAACUCAUACAAUUACAUGCAACGUAAAACUAUUAAUUUUCGCCGAUGAUUGUCAUUAUUGUUCCGACCCUGUCCAUGUCCGCCGCCCGGGUGAGCCCCUCGAAGUGGAGGUGUGGACGUCGGCAAGGUAGAGUAGGACAUGGAACUCGGACCGGGUCAAGGGACUUGUGGCUCCGUUGUCUCUCAUGCCCUACUCUUCCUCAUCGGAGCCCGCGUCCUCAACAUGCUUGCCAUACACCAUGCACGGCCAUCCACGCUUGGUGUGUUCCACCGCGUGCAUGCCUCGCGUCCUUAGCAUGCUUGCCGUACACCAUGCCAGAGUUUACCUUCGGCUCGGAGCCCGACCUCGCGAGGACGGCGUGCCACCAAAGAGGUUGCGCCGAGCGCUAGACGUACUGCACUGCGUCCAGCAAGGCAGGGGUACAUCGCCUCCCACCACGAGCCCCGGUGGAUCCAAUGGCCAUUUGUGUUGACGCAAUGGAUUUAUGCUGGAAUGAGUCCGUCCAUGGCCGGGUGCACUCCACCCGUGAAUGGUGGAGAGCCAUGCGUAUGGCCUCUCUCCUCCUAGGGACGACAAGGGAUAAGGUCCCUGUCGACGAAUUCGGAUCUCUCAGAGUCAAAACUGCUGCCUGCCAUGCCGGAGACAGUCGGAGUUCAUCGGCGAAGACCAAGGGCGCGGAGGGGAGUGGAGUGGAGUGGAGUGGAGUGGAGUGAAGAGCGGCUAUGGUUUCGUCUAGAGUGUGGAUAGGGUUGGAUAUAUGUGGGGAUGGGUGGGCCAUAGUGGGACUGAUCCGAUGUGGCGAGCGUGUCUGGGCGUCCUCACAUAUGCCCCACAUAUGAGCUGGAUAUGGGGUCACCGGUUAACCCAGGCGUUUGGGCUGCAUUUCAGACGUCCGGUUGGAUGCCAGUUUCGCGUUCGGACAACCCGCUCNNNNNNNNNNNNNNNNNNNNNNNNNNNNNNNNNNNNNNNNNNNNNNNNNNNNNNNNNNNNNNNNNNNNNNNNNNNNNNNNNNNNNNNNNNNNNNNNNNNNNNNNNNNNNNNNNNNNNNNNNNNNNNNNNNNNNNNNNNNNNNNNNNNNNNNNNNNNNNNNNNNNNNNNNNNNNNNNNNCGAGCGUUUGUGGCAGAUAUGUGUGUGUGUGUGUGGGGGGGGGGGUCUGGUUGUAGAUGCUCUUAAUUCGUCGGUUAAGCAACACACGCGUAUGUGAGGCUCGCAGUCACAGGCUACGGGCAGGUGCAUCUAGGAUAUUGCCGGCGAUGACGAGAUCAACGGUUCGUUGGCGUGGCGGACGAGGCCGACCGGUGGUGGAUUGAAGAUAAAGAUGACACGUGGGGCAUGGAUGUCAGUGAGAAUAGCAUGUAAUCCCUAUCGGGAUCGACCUUUUCCCAGCUCGUCAAACAGGUAUAGGGUUAGGCUUAACCAGGAUAUUGAUUUCAAGAGAUUAUAAGGAUUAAGGUUAAGGUUCGAUUUUGACGAGAUGUAUUAACUGGAGGUUCAAAACAGACCUCAUAUUGUAAAGUUUAAUUACUCAAACAAUCCACACAUACAUGAAUAAAAAGACGAGCACAACUAAAUGGCAAUAAUCGAGGUCUCCUAGACCUUUGAGAGAUGUAACCCGUUGAUCAUCAGUUCUACCAACAACAUGAAAGUAUUCCAUGUUAGGACCGAGAGUAUAUUGACCAGAGGGGGUGAAUGGGAGAUUCAAAAUUUUCUUUCGAAAGCUUUGAAACUUAACCCAGUCACAGCAGCGGAAUAUAGUAUUGAGAGAAAAGCACUAAAUCAGUUUUCUUUGUCAGAGGCAUAUUCAUCGAGGAAGGCAUUUACAACAGAGCAAGUACGUUGGAUAAUGCAUUUAACAACAAUGAGGGUUAUGCAGCAAGCAAACAAGUGUAACAGAAUGAGACAGAACAUAACUGAAUCUGAAGUAAAUGCAACUGAAGGGAUACACAAGUUGACAAAAAUACAGACUAGCAACGAAGGAAUAUAGACAAGCAUUAAGAAAGUAAUUAACACGAAUACACAGGAUAAGAAUCACAGAACAAAACAAAGAUCAGAGAAUCUAGUGGCACAGAGCACGAAUGAACACUACUGAAUGAAAUGCAGUAGAAUAGAUAUAACCAGUGGUGCUCGAUGGCGACAAGAGGUUUGGUAGACCAGUUCACCCUUCUGCCAAAGGGCUACCUCUGGUUGGAGGGGAUGUGACUUAACACGGAAGAUAAAUUCUCUUCACCCUAUUCUCCUUCAACACAGACCUGAUCAAGCUCAGGUUGAUUUCACUCAUGGUAGAUCCUUCUCGGUGAUCUCCAAACCUUCAGUCGACCUUCACGAACCAAAAUCACUCUUGGCUGCUGAAGAUCAGGCUCGGUGAAGACAACAAUUCUUCAACACUCGAAGCCAAACCUAUCCGUCUAGAGAGUGCGCAGCUCUCAAGAGUAACAGUUACAAGAACUCUCACUCAGAACUGUUGUGAUGCUAAACCACUGUCUAAGUUUGGGCUCUUGGUUUUCUCUCGGUGGAUCUUAAACUCAAAUCACUCAGAGAGGAGUUGCUCAAUUCGAUCUUCUCAGAAAUCUCAAGCGGAGCAGCCAACAGAUAACGUUGGAGCUAGGUGGCUAUUUAUAGCCGUAGCUUUCCCAGAUGGGAAAUGACCAAAUUGGACAUCAGCCUCGGCCAAUGCCCUAACGACAUGAUUCCAACAGUCGGAUUUGAGCAUAACGGUAACAUUUCUUGCAGAGCAAGAUAUGCUAACUCAUCGGUCCGAGGCAAAUCUCUCGCUGCAAAGAAGAUCACAGUCUCUUGCUAGCAAGUAUUUACUCGGAACACAAAGAGAUUUCUCUCGCAUCUUUCAUAGGUUGUGGCUAAGCAUCACAGCUGAUCUAAGAAGCGAGAACCUAUACUCCUCUUAAUAGUACAGAGGUCCUAUGACUCGACAGACUGAAAGAAGAAAAAUGAAAUGAAUGCUACGUCUUCACUUUGUCUUCGACUUCAACCACAACAGUCAAUUUCUUCAGACGACAGUAUCGAAACAAAAGCUUCACUUCAGCAGUAAACUUUCGAGGGGUCUAUUUCUUCACAUUAAUCUUCUCGACUCUACCACUUCAUUAGAUAUAGCUUGUUCUUCUCUGCAGCGCAAAUAUGCUUCGGUGAAGUUCCUUGAACUCAUCACCGGAGACAUCAUUCUCUUUGGUUGUGUAUGGACAUUUAUCUAUAUGUGCACUAGCAAACAAAUUAGUCCAUACCUGUUUCUAUCAACAAUCUCCAAAACACAAGGUAGGCAGAUAUUGCACCAACAAUCUUCCCCUUUUUGGACGACUGUUGACAAAACUGAUCACAUCGAAUGAUAGAUAAUGAGUGGAAUGUAAUGCGAAGAAUAAUGAAAGACGAGAGAAGAUUACAAAGAUAUGAUAUUCUCCCCCUUAAGAUGUGCUUCGGUCUGGGAAAAUAUGUUUAUCUUCGUAUGAGUGUCAUUGACAACGGAUUUCAUACUACAGUUUGUUCAAUGCACUUGACGGUGUCUGAGGCUAUUCCUGUCACAAAAACUUCAACAAGGGUUAGAUGUGAAACAAACAUUGCGAGCUUUGUGAAAUGGAUAAGUUAUGAAGGUUUUAUCAUAACACAGUUUGAAUCCACAUGAUAUAUGGUUUUCCUGCUUGUUAGAUGUUUGAUAUGAUCAAAGCAGGAUCGAAUAAUAAUUCAUAGCUCAGAGUGGAUAUGCUUUGAAGGUGGUUUUGCCGCCAAAGAGAUGAUGCAAAUGAUAUUCAUGAGGAAAAACACUUUGUCAAUCAUAUGGAUGACUUUUAACUUCCUGCAAGGUUAAAUAAUGAUAAAUAGCAAUAAGAGCAUAUCCAACCAAUAGUUGUGAAUCAUAUAGUGCUCCAAUGUAACAUCAUCAUUUGAUGUUUCUCUGUUCUUCUUGGCAGAGCUGUGUUCCUGUAAGAUCAUUGAUUUCUGAUGAAAAUCAAUCGGAGGAUAAACAUUCAAAGCACCUGCAGACAAAAUAGUGCGAAGCAAAAGGUAUUGCAAGUGGGAGGUUAUUAACAUUACAUGACGAUCGAGUGUUUUCAGCACCACAUGAGAUGCGAUAAAGUUCUGAAGCAAACUGUUCGAAGAGAAACCAAAUGAAAAUACAAAGCAAAACACCCUGCAAACCCCGAUAAACUAUCACUCGAUGUUAUUCUCCCCCUUUUUGUCAACAAGUGUCAAAAAGGAAAGAGAGAGCACAUGAGGAAUUACUAGGAAAUCUUCUGAGUCAGAGUUGACACCACUUGUAGAAUCAGAGUCAGAAGAAUGAGAAAUGGUCAAGGCAGAAGCAGGUGUAGCAGCCUUGGCUUUGAGGGGCUCCUAAGGAUGUGCAUCUGGCUUUUAGGUACGAGUGCCGGUAGUGUCUUUGAUCUCAUCAUCAUGGUUGACAAACAACAGAUCCGUUGAAGUAGAAUGUUGUGGGAGCUGUGGAGUUUGUCUUCAAACAGGCGGGACUGCAAGCAAGUUCAGAUAGUCAUAGUCUUUGUGGAGGCCUUCCUUGGCAAGAUCCUUGCGAGAGUAAUCCCGUCUCAGCAAGGUCCAUGAUCUCUUCCUUGCAUCCUUCUCAUGCAGAAGAAUUUGCCGAGUGUGAUUAUGAAGCAGAUUCAGUUCAGCCAGCAAUUCCAACUUUUCUUUUCUAUCCAUUAUGAUGUGCCUCUCCAGUGUAUGCUGUGUGCGAAUGCAAAUCUCAUAGAGUGAUGAAUUUUCCUCUCGAGGAACUUCAACCUUGGCUUCUUUGACCUUUCUAAUAUUCUCUGAUGUAGAAAAAGAUGCAGUAGCAUCAACAAUUUCCUUUCCUUUUCUGUAUUAUAUCACUAUGAGCAGAGUGUCACGGACAGGUGGCAUGAAUACCUUCGGUGCAUAGGCCCAGAAGAAUUUUUCAUUGGUGAGCUGCUCAAUGGCAUACAUAAUCCAAGGAGCAUAUGGCUUCAACGACUAAGGGUUGUCUGCAGCACAUGCCAGAUUCCGAAUAAAAAGGUUAGGAAUGUCAAACUUGAUUCCCUGAGAUAUUGACACAAGAGCAUUUCCCACGAUGCCUUUGUUGGAGUUGGGCCUGUUAGUUGGCGUAAUGGUAUUGCACAGAAUGUGGAAUAGCACCUUGUUAUCAUAGACCAACUUCUUAGGGUCAACGUCAAUGCAUUCAUCGCCCACCAAAGUGGGAUCCAUCAGGAUAUGGAGUUCUUCAUCAGAUACUUCAAGGAAAUGCAGUAUGUGUUCUCUGUCAUUCUCAAAUUCACACUGAGGCAAUUUUAUCAGGGCCAAAAAGUGAUUUUUUGAGAAUUUGAUUCUCUCUCUGCCAGUCAUCCACUCAAGCAUCCAUGUUGAAGUAUUUUCCAUCUGCCCUGUGAUGUACAACAUGGCAUAGAACUGAAGAAUAAUCUCUUUGUUCCAUCCAUGAUUGAAUUGUUGGGGAACGUAGUAAUUCAAAAAAAUUCCUACGAUCAUGCAAGAUCUAUCUAGGAGAUGCAAAGCAAUGAGACGGGAGAGUGUGUCCAUGUACCCUCGUAGACUGAAAGCAAAAGCGUUUAGUAACGCGGUUGAUGUAGUCGAACGUCUUCACGAUCCAACCGAUCCAAGUACCGAACAUACGGCACCUCCGUGUUCAGCACACAUUCAGCACGAUGAUGUCCCUCGAGCUCUUGAUCCAGUUGAGGACGAGGGAGAGUUCCGCCGGCACGAUGGCGUGGCGACGGUGUUGAUGAUGUUACCGGCGCAGGGCUUCACCUAAGCACUAUGACGAUAUGACCGAGGUGUUAAACUAUGGAGGGGGCACCACACACGGCUAAGAGAUUGUCUGUUGUGCUUUGGGGUGCCCUACCCCCGUAUAUAAAGGAGGAGAGGGGGAGGCUGGCCGGCCCUGUAGGGCGUGCCAAGAGGAGGGAGUCCUACUAGGACUCCAAGUCCUAAUAGGGUUUCACUUGGUGGAAGGGGGAGGAAGGAAGGGAGAGGGAGAGGGAGAGAGAAAGGGGGGCCGCACCCCCUCCCCUAGUCCUAUUCGGACUCCCCAUGGGGGGUGCAUCCCCUAUGUGGGGUGUCCUCUCUCACCCCUAUGGCCCAUAAUGGCCCAUUGCUUCUCUGGGGGGUUUCGGUAACCCCUCCGGCACUCCAUUUUUACCCGAUAUCACUCGUAACUCUUCCGGUGUCCGAAUAACAUAGUCCAAUAUAUCAAUCUUUAUGUACUAACCAUUUCGAGACUCCUCGUCAUGUCCAUGAUCUCAGCUGGGACUCACAACAAACUUUGGUCAUCAAAAACACAUAACUCAUAACACAAAUCGUCAUCAAACAUUAAGCGUGCGGACCCUACGGGUUCAAGAACUAUGUAGACAUGAUCGAGACACAUUUCCGAUCGAUAACCAAUAGCGGAACCUUGAUGCUCACAUUGGCUCCUACAUAUUCUACGAAGAUCUUUAUCGGUCAAACCGUAGGACAACAUACGUUGUUCCCUUUGUCAUCGGUAUGUUACUUGCCUGAGAUUCGAUCGUCGGUAUCAUCAUACCUAGUUCAAUCUCGUUACCGUCAAGUCUCUUUAGUCGUUCUGUAAUGCUUCAUCCUGCAACUAACUCAUUAGUCACAUUGCUUGCAAGGCUUAUAGUGAUGAGCAUUACUGAGAGGGCCCAGAGAUACCUCUCCGAUACACGGAGUGACAAAUCCUAAUCUUGAUCUAUGCCAACCCAACAAACACCUUCCAACACACUUGUAGAGCAUCUUUAUAAUCACCCAGUUACGUUGUGAUGUUUGAUAGCACACAAGGUGUUCCUCCGGUAUUUGGGAGUUGCAUAAUCUCAUAGUGUGAGGAACAUGUAUAAGCCAUGAAGAAAGUAGUAGUAAUGAAACUAUAAUGAUGAUAAUGCUAAGCUAAUGGAUGUGUCUUGUCCAUCACAUCAUUCUCUAAUGAUGUGAUCCCGUUCAUCAAAUGACAACACAUAUCUAUGGUUAGGAAAUAUAACCAUCUUUGAUUAAUGAGCUAAUCAAGUAGAGGUAUACUAGGGACACUAUGUUUUGUCUAUGUAUUCACACAUGUACUAAGUUUCCGGUUAAUACAAUUCUGGCAUGAAUAAUUAACAUUUAUCAUGAUAUAAGGAAAUGUAAAUAACAAAUUUAUUAUUGCCUAUAGGGCAUAUUUCCUUCAGUCUCGCACUUGCACUAGAGUCAAUAAUCUAGAUUACAAAGUAAUGAUUCUAACACCCAUGGAGUCUUGGUGCUGAUCAUGUUUUGCUCGUGAAAGCGGCUUAGUCAACGGGUCUCCAACAUUUAGAUCCGUAUGUAUUUUGCAAAUCUCUAAGUCUCCCUCCGCGACUUGAUGCCAGAUGGAAUUGAAUCAUCUCUUGAUGUGUUUGGUUCUCUUGUGAAAUCUGGAUUCCUUUGCCAAGGCAAUUGCACCAGCAUUGUCACAAAAGAUUUUAAUUGGACCCGCUGCACUAGGUAUUACACCUAGAUCGGAUAUGAACUCCUUCAUCCAGACUCCUUCAUUUGCUGCUUCCGAAGCAGCUAUAUACUCCGCUUCACGCAUAUAUCUCGCCACGACGCUCUGCUUGGAACUGCACCAACUGACAGCUCCACCAUUCAAUAUAAAUACAUAUCCGGAUUGCGACUUAGAGUCAUCCGGAUCAGUGUUAAAGCUUGCAUCAACGUAACCAUUUACAACGAGCUCUUUGUCACCCCCAUAAAUGAGAAACAUAUCCUUAGUCCUUUUCAGGUAUUUCAGGAUGUUCUUGACCAUUGUCAAGUGCUCCAAUCCUAGAUUACUUUGUUACCUCCCUGCUAUACUUAUAGCAAGGCACACAUCAGGUCUGGUACACAACAUUGCAUACAUGAUAGAACCUAUGGCUGAAGCAUAGGGAAUGACUUUCAUUUUCUCUCUAUCUUCUGCAGUGGUCGGGCAUUGAGUCUGACUCAACUUUACACCUUGUAACACAUGCAAGAACCCUUUCUUUGACUGAUCCAUUUUGAACUUCUUCAAAACUUUCAAGGUAUGUGCUUUGUGAAAAUCCAAUUAAGCGUCUUGAUCUAUCUCUAUAGAUCUUGAUGCCCAAUAUGUAAGCAGCUUCAUCGAGGUCUUUCAUUGAAAAAUUCUUAUUCAAGUAUCCUUUUAUGCUAUCCAGAAAUUAUGUAUUAGAAAUGCUAUAGAGCUCCCACUCACUUUCUUGUAAAUACAGGCUUCUCCAAACAUCCGUAUAAAACCAUGUGCUUUAAUGACACUAUCAAAGCGCAUAUUCCAACUCCGAGAGGCUUGCACCAGUCCAUAAAUGGAUUGCUGGAGCUUGCACACUUUGUUAGCACCCUUUGGAUCGACAAAACCUUUUGGUUGCAUCAUAUACAACUCUUCUUUAAGAAAUCCAUUAAGGAAUGCAGUUUUGACAUCCAUUUGCCAAAUUUCAUAAUCAUAAAAUGUGGCAAUUGCUAACAUGAUUCAGACAGACUUAAGCAUCACUACGGGUGAGAAAGUUUCAUCGUAGUCAACUCCUUGAACUUGUCGAAAACCUUUUGCAACAAGUCGAGCUUUGUAGACAGUAACAUUACUGUUAGCAUCGGUCUUCUUCUUGAAGAUCCAUUUAUUUUCUAUGGCUUGCCGACCAUCGGGCAAGUCCACCAAAGUCCACACUUUGUUCUCAUACAUGGAUCCCAUCUCAAAUUUGAUGGCCUCAAGCCAUUUCACGGAAUCUGGGCUCAUCAUCGCUUCCUCAUAGUUCGUAGGUUCAUCAUGGUCUAGUAACAUGACUUCCAGAAUAGGAUUACCGUACCACUCUGGUGCGAAACGUAUUUUGGAUGACCUAAGAGGUUUGGUAGUAACUUGAUCUGAAGUUUCAUGAUCAUCAUUAGCUUCCUCACUAAUUGGUGUAGGAAUCACUGGAACUGAUUUCUAUGAUGAACUACUUUCCAAUUCGAGAGAAGGUACUAUUACCUCAUCAAGUUCUACUUUCCUCCCACUCACUUCUUUGGAGAGAAACUCCUUCUCUAGAAAGGAUACAUUCUUAGCAACGAAUAUCUUGCCUUCGGAUUUGUGAUAGAAGGUGUACCCAACAGUUUCCUUUGGGUAUCAUAUGAAGACACACUUCUCCGAUUUGGGUUUGAGCUUAUCAGGUUGAAGCUUUUUCACAGAAGCAUCCCAGCCCCAAACUUUAAGAAACAACAACUUUGGUUUCUUUCCAAACCAUAGUUCAUAGGGCGUCGUCUCAACGGAUUUCGAUGGUGCCCUAUUUAACGUGAAUGCAGCCAUCUCUAAAGCAUAACCCCAAAACAAUAGCGGUAAAUCAGUAAGAGACAUCAUAGAUCGCACCAUAUCCAAUAAAGCACGGUUACAACAUUCGAACACACCAUUUCGCUGUGGUGUUCCAGGUGGCGUGAGUUGAGAAACUAUUCCACAUUGUUUCAAAUGAAGACCAACCUCAUAACUCAAAUAUUCGCCUUCACGAUCAGAUCGUAGAAACUUUAUUUUCUUGUUACGAUGAUUUUCCACUUACUCUGAAAUUCUUUGAACUUUUCAAAUGUUUCAGAGUUAUGCUUCAUUAAGUAGAUAUACCCAUAUCUGCUCAAAUCAUCUAUGAAGGUAAGAAAAUAACGAUACCCGCCAUAGGCCUCAACACUCAUUGGACCACAUACAUCAGUAUGUAUUAUUUCCAGUAAGUCAGUAGCUCGUUCCAUUGUUCUGGAGAACGGAGUUUUAGUCAUCUUGCCCGUGAGGCAUGGUUCGCAAGCACCAAGUGAUUCAUAAUCAAGUGAUUCCAAAAGCCCAUCAACAUGGAGUUUAUUCAUGAGCUUUACACCAAUAUGACCUAAACGGUAGUGCCACAAAUAAGUUUCUCUAUCUUUAUCAACUUUGCAUCUUUUGGCAUCAAUAUUAUGAACAUGUGUAUCACCACGAUCGAUAUUCAACAAAAAUAGACCACUCAACAAGGGUGCAUGACCAUAAAAGAUAUUACACAUAUAAAUAGAACAACCAUUAUUCUAUGAAUUAAAUGAAUAACGGUCUUGCAUCACACAUGAUCCAGAUAUAAUGUUCAUGCUCAACGCUGGCAGGAAAUAAUAAUUAUUCAGGUCUAAAACUAACCCCGAAGGUAGAUGUAGAGGUAGCGUGCCGACGACGAUCACAUCGACCUUGGAACCAUUUCCGACGUGCAUCGUCACCUCGUCCUUGGCCAAUCUUCGUUUAAUCCGUAGCCCCUGUUUCGAGUUGCAAAUAUGAGCAACAGAACCAGUAUCAAAUACUCAGACGCUACUACGAGCAUUAGUAAGGUACACAUCAAUAACAUGUAUAUCAAAUAUACCUUUCACUUUGCCAUCCUUCUUAUCCGCCAAAUACUUGGGGCAGUUCCGCUUCCAGUGACCAGUCCCUUUGCAGUAGAAGCACUCGGUUUCAGGCUUAGGUCCAGACUUGGGCAUUUUCUCUAGAGCAACAACUUGCUUGCCGUUCUUCUUGAAGUUCCCCUUCUUCCCUUUGCCCUUUUUAUUGAAACUAGUGGUUUUGUUAACCAUCAACACUUGAUGCUCCUUCUUGAUUUCUACCUCCGUAACCUUUAGCAUUGCGAAGAGCUCAGGAAUCGUUUUCGUCAUCCCUUGCAUAUUAUAGUUCAUAACGAAGCCUUUAUAACUUGGUGGUAGUGAUUGAAGAACUUUGUCAAUGACACUAUCAUCAGGAAGAUUAACUCCCAACUGAGUCAAGUGGUUAUGGUACCUAGACAUUCUGAGUAUGUGUUCAUUGAUAGAACUAUUCUCCUCCAUUUUUUAGCUAUAGAACUUGUUGGAGACUUCAUAUCUCUCAACUUGGGCAUUUGCUUGAAAUAUUAACUUCAACUCUUGGAACAUCUCAUAUGCUCCAUGACGUUCAAAACAUCUUUGAAGUCCCGAUUCUAAGCCGUAAAGCAUGGCACACUGAACUAUCGAGUAGUCAUCAGCUUUGCUCUACCAGACGUUCACAACGUCCGUAGUUGUAUCUGCAGCAGGCCUUGCACCUAGCGGUGCUUCCAAGACAUAAUUCUUCUGUGCAGCAAUGAGGAUAAUCCGCAAGUUACGGACCCAGUCCGUGUAAUUGCUACCAUCACCUUUCAACUUAGCUUUCUCUAGGAACGCACUAAAAUUCAAAGGAACGGUAGCACGGGCCAUUGAUCUACAACAACAUAGACAUGCAAAAACUAUCAGGACUAAGUUCAUGAUAAAUUAAAGUUCAAUUAAUCAUAUUACUUAAGAACUCCCACUUAGAUAGACAUCCAUCUAGUCAUCUAAAUGAUCACGUGAUCCAAAUCAACUAAACCAUGUCCGAUCAUCACGUGAGAUGGAGUAGUUUUCAAUGGUGAACAUCACUAUGUUGAUCAUAUCUAUUAUAUGAUUCACGUUCGACCUUUCGGUCUUAGUGUUCCGAGGCCAUAUCUGCAUAUGCUAGGCUCGUCAUGUUUAACCCGAGUAUUCUGCACAUGCAAAACUGACUUGCACCCAUUGUAUGUGAACGUAGAGCUUAUCACACCCGAUCACCAUGUGGUGUCUCGGCAUGACGAACUGUAGCAACGAUGCAUACUCACGGAGAACACUUAUACCAUGAAAUUUAGUAAGGGACCAUCGUAUAAUGCUACCGCCGUACUAAGCAAAAUAAGAUGCAUAAAAGAUAAACAUCACAUGCAAUCAAAAAUAUGUGACAUGAUAUGCCAUCAUCAUCUUGUGCUCAUGAUCUCCAUCACAGAAGCAUCGGUAUGAUCUCCAUCUUCACCGGCUUGACACCUUGAUCUCCCUCAUAGCAUCGUUGUCGUCUCGCCAACUAUUGCUACUACGACUAUCGCUACCGCUUAGUGAUAAAGUAAAGCAAUUACAUGGCGAUUGCAUUUCAUACAAUAAAGCGACAACCAUAUGGCUCCUGCCAGUUGCCGAUAACUCUGUUACAAAACAUGACCAUCUCAUACAACAAUUUAUAUCACAUCAUGUCUUGACCAUAUCACAUCACAACAAGCCCUGCAAAAACAAGUUAGACAUCCUCUACUUUGUUGUUGCAACUUUUACGUGGCUACUACGGGCUUCUAGCAAGAACCGUUCUUACCUACGCAUCAAAACCACAACGAUUUUUCGUCAAGUGUGUUGUUUAAACCUUCAACAAGGACCAGCCAUAGUCAAACUCGAUUCAACUAAAGUUGGAGAAACAGAUACCCGCCAGCCACCUAUGUGCAAAAACACGUUGGUAGAACUAGUUUCAUGAAUGCGGUCAUGUAAUGUUGGUCCGGGCCGCUUCAUCCAACAAUACCGCCGAAUCAAAGUAAGAAGUUGGUGGUAAGCAGUAUGACUAUUAUCGCCCACAACUCCUGAAGGAAAUAUGCCCUAGAGGCAAUAAUAAAGUUAUUAUUUAUUUCCUCAUAUCAUGAUUAAUGUUUAGUAUUAAUGCUAGAAUUGUAUUAACCGGAAACAUAAUACAUGUGUGAAUACAUAGACAAACAUAGUGUCACUAGUAUGCCUCUACUUGACUAGCUCGUUGGUCAAAGAUGGUUGUGUUUCCUAGCCAAAGACACGAGUUAUCAUUUGAUUAACGGGAUCACAUCAUUAGGAGAAUGAUGUGAUUGACUUGACCCAUUUUGUUAGCUUAGCACUUGAUCGUUUAGUAUGUUGCUAUUGCUUUCUUCAUGACUUAUACAUGUUCCAAUGACUAUGAGAUUAUUCAACUCCCGUUUACCGGAGGAACACUUUGUGUGCUACCAAAUGUCACAACGUAACUGGGUGAUUAUAAAGGAGCUCUACAGGUGUCUCCAAAGUUACAUGUUGAGUUGGCGUAUUUUGAGAUUAGGAUUUGUCACUCCGAUUGUCGGAGAGGUAUCUCUGGGCCCUCUCGGUAAUGCACAUCACUAUAAGCCUUGCAAGAAAUUGACUAAUGAGUUAGAUGCGGGAUGAUGCAUUACAUAACGAGUAAAGAGACUUGCCGGUAACGAGAUUGAACUAGGUAUUGAGAUACCGACGAUAGAAUCUCGAGCAAGUAACAUACCGAUGACAAAGGGAACGGUAUAGUUAUGCGGUUUGACCGAUAAAGAUCUUGGUAGAAUAUGUGGGAGCCAAUAUGAGCAUCUAGGUUCCGCUAUUGGUUAUUGACCGGAGAUGUGUCUCGGUCAUGUCUACAUAGUUCUCGAACCCGUAGGGUACGCACACUUAAAGUUCGGUGACGAUCGGUAUUAUGAGUUUUUGCAUUUUGAUGUAUCGAAGGUAGUUCGGAGUCUUGGAUAUGAUCACGGACAUGACGAGGAGUCUCGAAAUGGUCGAGACGUAAAGAUCGAUAUAUUGGAUGACUAUGUUCGGACACCAGAAUGGUUUCGGGGAGUUUUGGACAUAUACCGGAAUACCGGGGGGUUACCGGAACCCCCCGGGGAGCUUAAUGGGCCAAGAUGGGCCCUAGUGGAGAAGAGGAGGGGCGGCCAGGGCAGGCCGCGCCCCCUCCCCAUCUAGUCUGAAUUGGACAAGGAGGGGGGCGGCGCCCCCCUUUCCUUCCUCUCCACUCUUCCUUCCUUCCCCUCUCCUACUCCAACAAGGAAAGGAGGAGUCCUACUCCCGGUGGGAGUUGGACUCCCCACUUGGCGCGACCUCCUCCUUGGCCGGCCGCCUCCCCCCUUGCUCCUUUAUAUACGAGGGGUAGGGGGGCACCUCUAGACACAACAAUUGAUCUCUUGAUCUCUUAGCCGUGUGCGGUGCCCCCCUCCACCAUAUUCCACCUCGGUAAUAUUGUAGCGGUGCUUAGGCGAAGCCCUGCGUCGGUAGCAUCAUCAACAUCGUCAUCACACCGUUAUGCUGAUGGAACUCUCCUGCAAAGCUCUUCUGGAUCGGAGUUCGUGGGACGUCAUCGAGCUGAACGUGUGCUGAACUCGGAGGUGCCUUACGUUCGGUACUUGAUUGGUCGGAUCGUGAAUACAUAUGACUACAUCAACUGCGUUGUGCUAACGCUUCCGCUUUUGGUCUAUGAGGGUACGUGGACGACACUCUCCCCUCGCGUUGCUAUGCAUCACCAUGAUCUUGUGUGUGCAUAGGAAUUUUUUUGAAAUUAUUACAUUCCCCAACAGUGGCAUCCGAGCCUAGUUUUAUGCGUAGAUGUUAUAUGCAUGAGUAGAACACAAGUGAGUUGUGGGUGAUACAAGUCAUACUUCUUACCAGCAUGUCAUACUUUGGUUCAGCGGUAUUGUUGGAUGAAGCGGCCCAGACCGACAUUACGCGUACGCUUACGCGAGACUGGUUCUACCGACGUGCUUUGCACAUAGGUGGCUGGCGGGUGUCAGUUUCUCCAACUUUAGUUGCCCCGAGUGUGGCUACGCCCGGUCCUUUAGAAGGUCAAAACAGCACUAACUUGACGAACUAUCAUUGUGGUUUUGAUGCGUAGGUAAGAAUGGUUCUUGCUCAGCCCAUAGCAGCCACUACAAAAAAAUACAAUUCCGUGAUGAUACGUGUUUGUCACAGUAGGUCGCGUUUUUUGUCAUGCAUGUACAUCCAUGACAAAUUUAUGACAGAAUGAAGAUAAUCAUACCUGUGCUGUCGUAGAAGUGUUCCAUGACAUUACCAAAAUUAUCAUCACGGAAGUGUCCACUUCCAUGACGAUAAAUCGCGCGUCACAGAAGUGCUUUCGUCAAGGGUGACCGACACGUGGCAUCCACCGUAACGGAACGCCGUUAAGCUAUCGGGUCGGGUUUUGGAUCCGAUAACCCAUUAACAGCCCCGACCAAUGGGGAUUUUCCACGUGUAAAAUCAUCAUUGGCUGGAGGAAACACGUGUCGGCUCACCGUUGGGACAAAUGUCAUCCACUCAUUGGACAAAAGGCGCCUAUCAUACGUCGACACGUGGCAUGGCCCAACAGAGGACCAUUCCUGUGAAAAGGCCGGCCCGUUUGACUUGGUCAAAAGGUGGCGGGCCGGCCCAUGGAAAGCCUGUUAACGGCCUAUUCGCAUAUAGCCCAUUUGCAGCCCGCUAACCCAAGGUCCGUUACGCCCUAUCCGAAUUAGGCCCAGUAGCGUCAUCUGGGCCAUCCAAUAUGAUUCCAGCCCGUUUUCACUUUCUGGCCCAUGUAUGGCCCAUGACGUCUUCCGGCCCAUAUGAGGCCCUAUGUAACUCUUGGCCUAUUAACGACCCGUGGGGAAACUGGCCCGCAAUGAACAGUGUAUCACUUUACACCCAUUAAGGACCUGUGGUGAAACUGGCUCGUAAUGAACAGUAUAUCACUUUAUACCCAUUAAGGGCCCGUUCUUCAGUUGGGCCGCUUCCAGCAAAUGUUAUGUUUCGGCCUUCUCAGAGCCUAUUUAUUCUUGGGGUCAUUUCCAACAUUCGUUUACUUACGGCCCGUUACUGUCAUUUUUUGCUUGUGGGCCAAAUUCAGCCCGUGGUUACAUCGACCCGUUUGUGGUCCGUUAAUACGUUGGGCCGUUUUCAUAGAGUCAUCAAAUAUGGCCUAUUAACGAUGGCCUGUUAUGGUCAUACGGCCCGUAUAAGGACCAUUCAUGAUACGUCCCGUAGAAGGCCCAUCGUUUCUAUGGCCCGUAGAAGGCCCAUUGUUUCUACGGCUCGUAGAAGGCCCAUUGUUUCUACGACCCAUAGAAGGCCUACUGUUUCUAUGGCCCGUAGAAGGCCCACUGUUUCUACGGCUCGUAGGAGGCCCAGUGUCACUAUAGUAAAUAUUAGCCCAUGGUUAUUGUGGCCUAGUUUUAAAAAGAACUGCACUGACUACAAGCAAACAAAUAAACAAGACAACAAGGAAAUAAAUAAGUAAGCAACUUAUGCUAGGCUAUCACGGCUGUUACACAUAUUACAUCCACUGGGCAUGAAAGUUCGCCACCAGUGCAAAUAUAGGGAACAAAGCAGCAUAUCAUAUACACUGGUUGUCAAAGUUGGCGACCAACGCAAAUAAACGCCGCAGCAAAACAAAUCCAAAACUUAAACCACUUCAGAAGAUCUCAAGAAACAAUAUCCUGGGUACGCAUAAUGCUGGCAAGAUUCUUAGCAAGCUUAUUAACUUUCUCUUGUUUGGCGCUUAAAUCCUCCAGCGCUUGCUGUUGCACCAGAAAAUAUGCAUCUGAAUUCUGCACGGACUUCCUCAGUCCUUCAGCUUCCUAUCGCAGCACAUCUGAUCAAUGUCUUUCAACUUGAAGUUGAGAUUCAAGAAGACAAACUAAGUCAGAUAGCGAGUUCAAAGAGCUUGUGCCAGCAGUAGUGGCCAGUAACUCGAACACUACAUCAAGACAUGACUUUUGGGUUCCCUCACUGUCGUCAAGAUAGUUUUUAUCAUCUUUCUUGGAGACCAACAGGGAUGUCUCACUAUCUUGAACCUUAUCUGCAUUACUUCCUUUACCAUUGGAUAACGCGGUACUGUUCUCCAAUAUUUUGUCCGCAUUCUAAAAGAGAAACAAGCAGACACAUCACAUGUUUACCAUGUUGUAUAUCAAACUCAUUUUGGUAAAUGAGUUCAGUAGUAAAGUGGACAGGAUAACAGCAUGAAACAAACAUAUAUCUAUGUACCAUGGUCACUUUAUGGUCUAUAUCAUUCUAGUUUUUGUUGCCAAAUCAAGAUAGAGACACAGUUCAAAUAAUAUUUGUUCAAGACAAAGCGGAAUAGAUAGAAUAUAAGUGUGGGUAACUAUAGAGCAAUAACAACACUUGUAAUGUGCAUGCAUGAGAACAUAACUGUUUAUUCAAUUGAAGCUGAAAUCAACAUAGAGCAGGUUACAACAGCAAACCAGUUAAAGAAACAGGUUUAAAACAUACCUGUUGCGUCAUUGGAGUUUCAAUUCCAGCCUUCAAAUUUGAAAAUAGUUGGUAUGAGUAAAUAUAGUAAUACAAGAGCAAAGGAGUAUGAACCAUAGCUACAGAACCUGACCUGAGAACAAAUCUUCUUCUCCUUUAAGCGUUGAGUUGGGAUUCGGAGUGGUGGUCCUCGUGCUUUGGGCACUGCAGUUCCCUUACUAACCGCUCGUGUUUGGGUGCUCUGUGGUGGAGACGGUGUUGUGUCAACUGGAACUGGGUUACUAUCUGUCGGGGUUGGGGUUAGAAGGGGUGUAGCUAGUUCUCUGUCCAACUGGGUAGGGGUAAAAUCUGCGAGAGUCUAGGUUAUGUGCGGUGGAUCUGGUCCUUGGGAAAGUACAACCAUGGCUCUAUCUGCAUCAACUGGUAGCACUAUCUUUUAUGAAGACCGUGUUGUUACUCCCUUAGAUACUGCCAUCACGCUCUCCAAUAAAAAUGGCUGAUAAACAAGAAAAGUAAUUGAAAGUAUAGACAUUGUAUGAUAGAAAUGUGCAAUGGAUAGUGGGGAAUAAAAGACGGCAUGAAAUUAUUCAUAUUUAUGUUGUCUAACCAAACAGGAUAGCAUGACACAAUUUCACAUAUAUGAUGGCUAACUAAACAGGAUAGCAGGACACAAUUUCACAUUAUGAUGGCUAACUAAAAAAGAUGGAAAGACAUAGUUCAAAUUAUGAGACUAUGUAAACAGGAUGACAUGACAUAACUAUAUAAUGUGUUUAUUAAAUAGGUUGGCAUGCCAUAAUUCACAUACAUUCAUGGAUAGAAUGCCAUAAUUCUAAAUAUGAUGACUGUAAACACUAAACAGGAUGAGAUGAUAUAACUAUAUGAUUUUUUAUUAAAUGGGUUGCCAUGCCAUAAUUCAGAUAGAUGAUGUGUAUGUACUAUGUAAACAUGAUGGCAUGAUAUAAUUCAAAUAUAUGAUUUAUAUAGUAAGCAAGUAAGCAGAUGGCAAUCUAUAUAUGAUGUAAAAACUAAGCAAUGCAAGACAACAUGCAUGACAUGGGUAAUAUAACCCUGCCAAGUUUGAGCAUAGACCUCAGGGGGGAAAUAGGACUGGUCAUCAGUCUCUGAAUCCUCCUCUGAGGAGCUCUCUGUAGCCAGCAAGAUGUCUACUUCAGCAGGUAGCAUUGUCUGCUCUGAAUACCUUGUUUUCACUCCAGAUACUUCCAUCACCACUUCAAAUAGCUGAUGCACAGGAAGAGUAGUUGAAUAUACAAACAUUGUCGACAAAUGGAACACGUAAUACAAAAAAUGAUAGCAUGAUAUAAUUCACAUACAUGAUGAUUGGCUAAACAACAUGACAUUGCAUAAUUCACAUAUAUAAUGCCUUUGCAACAAGAUAGCAUUGUAUAAUUCACAUAUAUAAUGUCUUGCAACAAGAUGGCAAUGCAUAAUUCACAUUUAUGGUAAUUAGACACUGAACAUGUGGCAUUCACACAAAGCAUGUCUAAACUAAUCAAAUGGCAUAGCAAUGUGAUACACCAUAUGCACGAUAUGAGCAACAUAACCCUGCCAAGUUAGAGCAUACACCUCGGGGGGGGGGGGAUAGGACUGGUCAUCUUUCUCUGAAUCCUCCUCCGAGGAGCUAUCCGUAACCAGCGAGAUAUGUGCUUCGUCAGAUAGCAUAGUCUGCUCAGAAGACUUUGUUUUCACUCCAGAAUUUGCCAUCACCGUGUCAAAUAGCUGAUGCACACGAAGAGUAGUUGAAUAUACUAACAUUGUUGACAAAUGUAAUAUGUAACGAAACAAAAGGAUGGCCUGAUAUAAUUUACAUAUAAGAUGACUGGCUAAGCAGGAUGGCAUUGCAAAAUUCACAUAUAUGAUGCCUGGCUAAACAAGGUGGCCUUGCAUAAUUCACAUAAACAAUGAAUAAACUAAACAGAUGGCAUUCGCAUAAAGGAUGUCUAAACUAAGCAGAUGACAUAUUUGAUGUAUAAAGUAAGCAAUGCAAGACACCAUAUGCAUGAUAUAACCAACAUCAGCAUGCCAAGUUAGAGCGAAGACCUCAGGGGGUAAAUAGGAGUUAUCUUCUCCUUCUGAACCCCCCUCAGAAUAGAUAUCUUCCUCUCGAUUACAAUCCAAAAUGCGUGAAGGGGGGCUGCCUUUGCACCUACCAUGGAGCGACGUCUGCAUGAAAUUAUAUUGCCACGCAAGGCUCAUCUCUUUUGCUCUACAUGUUCAGUUCCAUUGUUUACAAUAACUGUCAUGCAUAGGAAUAAAACAUAGUGAGAUUAUGUAAGGAGUGCAUGCAGAAAUCUAGAGUGAUGGCAGCAACAUGUGGAUAGACCCAAAACCAAUAAAUAGUAGGCAGAUAAUGGCUUCAGUUAAUAAAUACAGAUAAUGGCUUCUUUAUUGUUUGUUUCCCACCCAACAUGAAACUCAUAGUAGACACCGGAGAUUAACCAGAUAGUAGAUAGAUACUAUUGAUAGCGGCCCCGAUAUGUACCCCAGAACCAUUUAAAAAAUCAAGUUUGACCAUCAGUUUGGAGCUGACUUAGAGUCUAAUCGGUGAACAGGAUGAUAAACUAGCAUGUAAUAUUAAGCGAUGCAUAACGUAAGCAGACACGAAAGAGUGCGACCUCUCUUGUGGACCCGUGUAGUCCUCGAGGUCAUCUGCUCGUUUGAUGAUGGUAAUGCAGUUUUCAUGGCUGCCAGCGGCGGGGAAGAAGAUCUGAGGCGGCGAAAGACAUUCUGGAGGCCGGAUCCCUGCUGUGCUCGACCCUUCUGUCGUUAGAGCAGCUGAGCUGGGGUGGAUGAUGGCGCAGCAGGAGCGGGACAAACCACACAAGGUUUUCUUUGACAACUAUCUAUAAGAGAAGUAAUUCUGUAAGGGCUCGUUUGAAUUGGAGGAUUCCAACAAUGCAGGGAUAGGAAAUAGACAGGAAUAGGAUAGGAAUGCAUGUGCAAAACAGAGAAUUUAAAAACACAGGAUUUCUGCCAAUCUGGGUGUUUGAUUCACAACAAUUGGAAGAUCACAGGAUGCAAAGAAGCAUGGUGAGAUUAAGUCAAACCACAAGAAAAUGUACGGUUAUAAUGCUAUUAUGCUACUAUCUCUUAGUCUUGUGCUUCAUGAAUAGGAAUUUGAAAAGGAGGACAAGUGAAAAUUAAAAUUCCUACAUUUUUUCUUUCAAGGAGACACUAAAGGAACAAAUCCGUGUGCUCAGUGGACAAUAUAUAUAACAUGUAGAGUAAAAAACAGAUGCAACAAGUGUACAACCUCUUUGGCGAAGCCAUGUCGAUCUCAGCGUGAUUGGGUUGGCUGGUGAGGAUGCUCCGGCUGACUUUGCUGUCGGAGGAGGGGAAGAAGAUCUUAGGCGUCUGGAGAUGGAGCCCGAGGUACUGCUCCGCUGUGAUGGAGGGUUUCAUCGUUGGAGCAGCUCCAGUGAGUUGUACGACGCCGAGGCUGAAGCAGGACAAGAGAGACAAUGAACAAUGUUAACCUGAGUGGAAUUCUAAUAGCAUCUCCAAUACAUGACAUAAAAUACAUAACCACAAAGUGCUAGAUGUAAAAUACAUCAGCAGCUCAUCUCUGAACUUAACUGUCGAAACUGAACUUAACUGUCGAAACUGAACCUAACUGUCGAAACUGAAUUUUGUUGUCGAAACUGAAUUUUGCCGUUGAAACUGAAUUUUGCUGUCAAAACUGAACGCACUAGGUGAGGCUACAUAUCGGUCGACAGACUUUUUCAUCUCUGGUCACUCGAUUUUGCAGCCGUUGGGUACGAAAUCAAGGGCCUGCGGUUCAUCUUCAACCUCCACCCCCCUGAGCUGCCAGCCACCACCGGCCAAACAGCAGCCCCCCGCCGCCCGCGGCUGGCGGUGCACCGCCCCGCCCACCCCGAAAACACUCCCCACCGCCGGUCCGCCGCCGCCCCGGCCAUCCCUCUAGGCCCCUUCGUGCCGAGCUUUUUCUCCGGCGAUCCCCACGCCACCGCCCCGCCACCGCCAGCGACCAUCGCCCCCAUCCUGAACCCUAAGAUAGAUAGUGGGGUACCUCUCCGGUGAGCCCCCCUCCCUGCUACGGCUGGUUCUUCCUUCACCCCUGGCGAGCCCACCCCUUGAAAAUUGACUGACACAAAAGUCGAUUCAGUCGACUGAAGUGUAGCCAAAUCGGAGCAGCAUCGCAAGCAAGAGCAAGAGCAAGAGCAAGAGCAGCAGCAUGACCAAGAGCAAUAGCAAGAGCAGACCAGGCAGGGGACCGAGAGCAAGAAUAGAGCAGCAGCGCGAGCGAGAGCUAAAGCAGCAGCAGCUCCUACUGAUGUGGACGUCACCGCCGAGGGAGCGACGCCGUGGAGGAAGUGGCCGGCGACGCCGCCGUGGAUGGAGCCGCACCGAGCGUCGGUAGCACCGUGAGAUCGAAUCAAGAAGAAAAUGCGGCGAUUAGUGUACAACCUCUUUGGUGGCACCGAUUAGGCCACAGCUUCAUCCGAGGAAACGGUGAUGAUGAUGCUCUUUCGGUGGUGCAGGUGAAGACGGCCGUGUGGGAAUGGAGGUGGCACAAAAGACGAGGGGAACAUCGGGGCAACUCCUUGGAGGUGGAGGACGGGGUGGCUGAACUGGUGGGAUGAUGGGAUCGACGACAGAUCCUCAUCCGGUACGGUGGAUGAGGGACGUUGAUGUGUUGCUGUGGACGACGUCGUCGUGGAAGAGGCUCCGUCUGGGUGGCGGACGGAGCAGGGUGUGGGGUUUCGUCACGGGUUUUCGCGGACUUGGUGUACGAAUGGGUGGGCGGAUGGGAUGGCAGUGGGGAACCAUGGCUUAGAUACGCGCUUGUCCGAAAUGUGGGGUAAGUUAGGAAAGUACCCCACCGAUUUGAGGCGGUUCUUUCGGUUUAGGGGUACCACGGGCAUUUCGCGUGUCGGGAUUUCACAGGAGGUGGGAGUUUUCGCGCAUGUUGUAAUUUCGGAAUAGCAAGGCGUGGGUUGAGAUGGAGGGAGUUGUCGGAGCACAACGAGACACAGAUAUAUCUUAAAUAUUUCGGGCUAACAAGGCACGGGUUGAAAUUUCCGGACAAGCCUAACGUGUACUGUACCAAAUCAAUGCGCACAACAAAUGUCAUUCAAAACUUUGAAUUCAUGUUAUGUUCAAUUAGAAUAUUUCACUACGUGUAUAAUGCAUGCAACCUACUACUCAAAUGAACGUUUUAGUGCAUUCCAAACGUAUAUACUACCGCUUCAAUAUGAACUAAAUUUGAAUAAGAUCUACAAUAAUGAUUGUUGUGAAGUCAAAGCAUUUGAAUUCGUUUCUCUGUUUUAAUAAGAUCUACAAUUAUCAUUAUUGUCAAGUUAAACCAUCGUUUGUGUAUUAUCUUCACAUCACAGCACAUGAUUAGUCUCGAGUUACAUAUGAACUAUGUGUACUAUAUGAACUCGAACUAGAUUUUUUGAAUCCACUUUAUUUUGAUUUCAAAUCACAUUACAUUUCUAGCUCUAGCUAGAUCUUCAUAAUCUAAACCAUGUCUCAUAUGUAUAAUAUGUUUAUCACAUUAUGUAUGGUGCCCCGCCCCCUACGCCUACAAGUAUUUAGAUGUGAGCUGCAAACACCACACAUUACCACAAAUUCAAAUAAAAUGUGAGAAUGUUCGAUAUAUAGUAUUGUUUAGAUUGCUCGAUAUUUAGUUGUAAGCUGCAAACGCCGCACAUUAUCACAAAUUCAAAUAAAAUGUGAGAUUGUUUGAUGUAUAGUAUGGUUUAGAUUGUUAGGCAUUUAGCUAUGAGUUGCAAAUGCCAUGCAUUAUCACAUUAUGGUAUAACAUGUGCACAUCACGUGUAUCACCGCUAUAUUCAUGCAUGCAAUGUUGAAAACACUAUGAUCUCCUAUUCAAAUAUAUGAAUCCGGUUUCAUAUCAAAUUAUGAUCUUUGUUAGUCUCUUACACCCACACAAUCCUCUAACCUUUGUAGCUACCACUAACUUUCUCUCGUGCAUGCACAUGCCCUCCUCGCCCUCCCCCUCCCUCGGCAUUCUAUCCACCAGGCACAUUCAUUUUUUUUUCUUUAGGUCGUUCUCCCAGAGUCUCCACAACUCCUUUCCGACCCACACCGAUCGAUAAACCUCUCUAGCGAUGCCUGCCUACAGCAUACACACACAGCUUCAAUCUCCUCCUUUAUGUGUCCUUGCCUCAUGUCUCUCAUAUGGUCAGACACACGUGUAAACUCUUGCCCCUCUUUUCAUCGAUCUCACAACCACACACUCCUCCCCCUAUCUAGAUAGUAGUUGGGCCUCUUGCACCACCUCCUAGCUCCAUUCUCUCUGUCUAUCCGUCUUGCUGGGCCUUAUUUGCCUCUAACAAAUGGACGUACACCGACCGAUCUCUCGCUAUACAUAUAGCCAGCUAGGUCCUUAUAACUCGUUUUUACCCACACAUCGAUCGAUCUACCUCAUUAGUUGUGUCUCUCCCUUCCUCCGACAAACAACAAUUGAUCUACCGAUCUAGUUAGGUUUGCUUACCAAACACAUGGUUCCCCUUCAUCAUCCAUGGAUGCGUCCCGACAGUUCUACGCACAGGCACACACAAAAACACAUCCCCACUCUUAUUGAUAAUAUUGUAGUUCCACCCUCAGUUUGUCUAGUAGGCCUCUCCCACCAUCUUCGAGAAGCAACUCCAUCACCCAUCCAGCACUCUACCCCUCUCCCUCCCUCUCUCUCCUCUCUCUCUCUCCCUCUAUCCCAUCCUAUUUCCCGUCCUUCAGUUAUGUAUGGAUGUCGACCGAUCUCCCUCAAGACAUAGCUGGGUCUCUCCUUCUCAACACAUAUACGAGUCGUUCUACCUCUAUAGUUAGGCCUCUGCCUCCCCCUCCCCCACCCCUCCCCCCACACACCGAUACAUCAAGCGCUCUAGUCAUGUCUCCCGGCCACACACAAACUUUGUUGGGGAACGUUGCAGAAAAUUAAAAUUUUUCCUACGGUUUCACCAAGAUCCAUCUAUGAGUUCAUCUAAGCAACGAGUCAUGGGAGAGAGAUUGCAUCUACAUACCACUUGUAGAUCGCGUGCGGAAGCGUUCAAGAGAACGGUGAUGAUGGAGUCGUACUCGCCGUGAUCCAAAUCACCGAUGACCAAGUGCCGAACGGACAUCACCUUCGUGUUCAACACACGUACGGAGCGGAUGAUGUCUCCUCCUUCUUGAUCCAGCAAGGGGGAAGGAGAGGUUGAUGAUGAUCCAGCUGCACAACGGCGUGGUGGUGGAUGCACCAGAACUCCGGCAGGGCUUCGCCAAGCUGCUGCGGGAGGAGGACGAGGUGUAGCAGGGGAGGGAGGCGCCAAGACACAGGGUGCGGCUGCCCUCCCCCCUUCCCUCCUUUAUAUAGGCCCCCAGGGGGGGCGCCGGCCCUGGGAGAUCUAAUCUCCCAAGGGGGGCGGCGGCCAGGGGGGUUGGAGUGCCCCCCAAGGCAAGUGGGGGCGCCCCCCACCUAGGGUUUCCAACCCUAGGCGCAGAGGGGGGCCCAGGGGGGCACACCAGCCCACUAGGGGCUGGUUCCCCUCCCAUUUCAGCCCACGGGGCCCUCCGGGAUAGGUGGCCCCAUCCGGAGGACCCCCGGGACCCUUCCGGUGGUCCCGGUACAAUACCGGGUGACCCCGAAACUUUCCCCAUGGCCGAAACAGCACUUCCUAUAUAUAAUUCUUUACCUCCGGACCAUUCCGGAACUCCUCGUGACGUCCAGGAUCUCAUCCGGGACUCCGAACAACAUUUAGUUUGCUGCAUACUCAUAUUCAUACAACCCUAGCGUCACCGAACCUUAAGCAUGUAGACCCUACGGGUUCGGGAGACAUGCAGACAUGACCGAGACGGCUCUCCGGUCAAUAACCAACAGCAGGAUCUGGAUACCUAUGUUGGCUCCCACAUACUCCUCGAUGAUCUCAUCGGAUGAACCACGAUGUCGAGGAUUCAAGCAACCCCGUAUACUAUUCCCUUUGUCAGACGGUAUGUUACUUGCCCGAGAUUCGAUCGUCGCUAUCCCAAUACCUCGUUCAAUCUCGUUACUGGCAAGUGACUUUACUCGUACCGUAAUGCAUGAUCCCGUGACCAGACACUUGGUCACUUUGAGCUCAUUAUGAUGAUGCACUACCGAGUGGGCCCAGUGAUACCUCUCCGUAAUACGGAGUGACAAAUCCUAGUCUUGAUCCGUGCCAACCCAACAGACACUUUUGGAGAUACCUGUAGUGCACCUUUAUAGUCACCCAGUUACGUUGUGACGUUUGGUACACCCAAAGCACUCCUACGGUAUCCGGGAGUUACACGAUCUCAUGGUCUAAGGAAGAGAUACUUGACAUUGGAAAAUCUCUAGCCAAACGAACUACACAAUCUUGUGCUAUGCUUAGGAUUGGGUCUUGUCCAUCACAUCAUUCUCCUAAUGAUGUGAUCCCGUUGUCAACGACAUCUAAUGUCCAUAGUUAGGAAACCAUGACUAUCUGUUGACCAACGAGCUAGUCAACUAGAGGCUUACUAGGGACGUAUUGUGGUCUAAGUAUUCACACGUGUAUUACGAUUUCCGGAUAAUACAAUUAUAGCAUGAAUAAAAGACAAUUAUCAUGAACAAGGAAAUAUAAUAAUAAUCCUUUUAUUAUUGCCUCUAGGGCAUAUUUCCAACAAACUUGACAUGUGCCCUCUAACGUUCCGGUAGGCCAGUCGCCCUAUAUAUUUGACUUGCACACACACACACACACACACACACACACAAUUUCGAUGGCUCUCUUCAUCGAUCUCGCACCCACCCACUUGAUCCUCUCUUCGACUCUAUCGAUAGCUAUGGCCCCUCCCUCUCUUCUCGUGGAUUGCCCAACCCUCUAUGUAUGAUAUGGAUAGGCCUCCAUUUCACACACAUUGAAUGCAAAAAUUUGUUUGAGAUGUCAUCGACACAUAUUCCCACAAAUAAUUCACGAAAUCAACCCCCACCCCACCCCAACCCCCCACCACAAAACAAAAAACACUCAUGAACACGGUUUGUAUCUCUCUCACACACCCACGUACGUGGGGGACGUGCAUGAAGAGAAGAGGUGCAUGCACGGCGCACGUACUCCCGUCUCUUUCCCAACCACACCCGCGCGGGUACACGGUGGAGCUCAUUUCUGUAUGAAAAAGGCAGCCCACGUGGUAAUUUGGCACGUGUACUGGUUGUCCACUUGGUGGAGGGAGGAUCAUCUACCACGGGUGAACAAACAAAUUGCAACUUGACGCGUUAUGUUAAAUUAAAAAAAGAGGCAAACCAUGUGGGGCCUACCUUAGAGGCAAGGCUCUAUACACUGGAGUACUUUUGAUGUGUCCCGUCAACUCGCAGAACGAGGAGAAGCUUGCUUAGUACGCCGUCUCUCCCGCCCACGGUCGCGGUGGCUCGCAGGAUGAGGUGAAGCUUGCUCCUCCCUCGCCCAUGCGCGCGGUGGCUCGCAGGACGAGGAGAAAAAUUUACUACUCCCUCCGUUUACUCCUCGUCCCUACUACCUUGAUUAUAGAGAUUAUAUCAUAUUGUUUGGAAUAUAUAUGUCCUUUAGUAGAUUUCAAUAGGAACUACUAGUACAUACUCCAAACACUGAUGUAUAUAGACGUAUUUUAGAGUUUACAUUCACUCAUUUUGCUCCGUAUGUAGUAGCACUCAGUUUGGGUGUUUGGUAGAGUGCAUGGAGGGUGCAUGAGUCCACAUUAGUUUAGCACAAAUACACUAGAAGCAUGCAUGAAGAGAGCAUGCAUGAAGAGGGGUGUUGAGUUGAGCAUGCAUGAAGAGGGAACAACUAUGCCGAGACGAGAACGCAACCAAACACACCCUAUAUGCCAUGCAUGUUCAUACCAUUUGUGCCUUUCUACUUCACUUACUGUGCUACAUUACUCAGGUUCGUACGUCCACUCCUGGGUACAUGUCCGUCUCGUAGUUCCAGUGCCACAUGUUCUUCAUAUAGAUGGAACGAUCAUUGCAUAACACAUGUGCCUUGAUGCUAGAUGUCUCGCGUGUUGGCAAAGGGAUGAACAAAGCUCACGUAAAAAAAAUAGAGUGGAAGAACAUAGAUUCCGGACGACCGAGAAGGAGCAAGGAACCUCGUGGUGGAGCGUCUGCACUCAUAAUAUUUAAUAUUAUUCAGCAAUAUAAAAUUAACCAAUCAUCUCCACAGUGGACUGGAAGAGUACGAAACACGGCAGCCCAGUGUAGUUACAUCAUACUAGUACAUGGCUAACCCACGCUAUCACCAUAUUUCUUGGCUUCCGUGCGACACCUAUCUCUAGUAAUCCAGCAGCCUGUAUCGCUUCUCCCUCCUCGUCUCUAUCAAAGUGCGGUGGGCUGGCGUUUCUGCCGUCUAUUGAGGUUGGUUAACUAUCACAUGUUAGCGACAUGCCAAGAGCAUUCUAAAAAAAUUCCUUUCACGUUCUGUUUUCAAAAAGAAAAAAUCCUUUCACGUACGAAUUUGCCUGUAUGCUUUGAGCAACUUGCAUGUCCUAUACUGCUCCUGUUUGAUACUCUAACUUAGCUAGAGGUUAGACUAACUCAUGACUAACCCUGAACUAACUGUAGCCAAAGAGGUGAUUGGGUGAAAGGGUUAGAUUGAUAAUAAAUGCACUUCAUGGAGAGAGAAAAGUGAUUUUUCAGUGGUCCCAAUGAGAACUAUCUCCAGUUAGCACCUCUUGGGUGGGAUAGUUUUUUUUCGUGGGUUUGGUGCAACUUGCUCCAAUUUAAACCCUCAUGCUUGGAUACUUUAGGGCUAUUUGAGCCCCAACUAGCUCAAACUAACUCUAACCCAUGGAUCCAAACAGGGCGUAUGGCCAGUCUCGACGCGGAGCAGUCGCGUGCACCGGGAAGCGGUGCUCUCUCGGCCAUCGCGCCACUUCAAAGCCGGCGCUAGUGAGAGGUCGCCUCCGCUCUGGCCGGGCAUUAAUGCGGCACUGAUGCUCCAGGGCGACGCUGACUAUUUCACGCGGGAAGCGCGCGCUGGCAAGGGAGUAUAGGUUUUGAACCGUUUCAGACGUAUUUUAGAGUGUACAUUCACUCAUUUUGCUCUGUAUGUAGUAGCACUCUCCCUCGCCCCUCGACCCUCGCCCACGUGGUGGACUUGCAGCAAUUCAUUCGGUCUCAUAUAGCCAGAACGAUAUAUACUGCACUACCAUUAUUGCUCGACUUCCCGAAGAGGCGAAGAGCCAAUCGCAAGGUUAAUAUUUUGGAGAUGCCAAGCACAAGGUUAUAGGAGAACGAGUAGUAUGUGCCGCAUCAUUUAUAAAUAAUUUUUUUUCUUCAGUGGCACGUACGCAAUAUGAUAGGUUCAUAUGGAGAGAAAAGGAAACCGCUCCACUAUAUACAUAGUCAGGAUGGGCCAGCCUACAUGGUUGCUUGCUGGGGUUGCUCUCUUCACACUCUCUCACACAAAACGAAUGUGGCCACAUCUCUAACAUCCCGGCGGAUCACGUCCACUUGGGGAAGGGGUGGAUGCUUAGUGUAGAUGCAGUGGCCGUCGCCGACGGCGAAAACCCACUGUCGGCACAUCCCGAUCAGGGGUCCCCGCUGUUCUCUCUCACAAAGCCGGUGAGGUUGCCUUCGUCCCUUGAUCACUGCCGCAACGUGGGCAGUUGCCGCCUCCCGCCACCCUCCUCAAGGUUGAGCUACGUCCGUCAGGUACAACUCCCUUUACAGCCGGCUUGCACCACUGCUCCAGCUGCCCACAUCACUCCCUGUGGAUAUUUCUCUACUUCUUUGCCCCGCACAUACCUGAUACCUCUAUUGGCUUCUAUGUACUGUAUUUGUGAUGAGUUUAUGUCUCAUCAACUAGUCCUAGUAAUCUUAUUCUAAUCAUGCUUCUUCAAUUUCUUUGCCACAGGGAUGCUCAUCUUGAUUUUGGUGAAACUGCACAAAAUGAACCGAUGGUCAAAAGGUUGCAAACUUCAUUUGUUAGGCAUCUCAAAUGUUGCCAGCAAAUUGAAGCCUGGUCAGGGUUCACGGUUCAAGGGCUAGGGACUGUAUGGGUCGUUUUUUUCUUUAGCUGCCUCUGUUCCAAAAUAAGUGUCAACUUUAGUAGUAGUACAACUUUGUACUAAAGUUUGCACAAAGUUGAGACACUUAUUUUGGAACGGAGGGAGUACAUAUUUGCUAUGAUCUAUCAAUCAUUGAGAUGAAAUAGCAUGCAUGUUAGUCUCCUUUGUAUUUGAUGAAAUGUUGCAACGGGCAACCUUGGACGCAAGAUACAUGUAACAGGAGCUGGAAGCUUCAUAGCAUUGUACAAAUUUAUCUCGCUAAUAAAUUACAAUACGUACUAGUACUAUACUAGUACUUCCUUCAUUCCUAAAUAUAAGUCUUUGUAGAUAUUUCACCAUUAACCACAUGUGGAUGUAUAUAGAUGCAUUUUAAGUGUAGGUUCAUUCAUUUUGUUUCGUAUGUAGUUCACCUAGUGGAAUCUCUACAAAGACUUAUCUACUAGUAAUAUCUAGCCCCCACUACUAGGAAUUCUCUAUCCUCUCCUUGAUCCACAUCAUCAAAAUUGACGUAGCCGUUAGAUGAAGUAAAUCAGUCAUAAUAGCCGUCUGAUCUAGACGUUGAGAGGCUCCGCACUAAGCCACAUGCAAGCAUGCAGAAAUACCAUGGCACAUGCAUGUGAGUGGGUUUUAAAUCACAUCAACAUGUCUGCAUGCAAGCAUGCACCGGUGGCAUGCAUGUAAGUGAGCUUUUAAGUCCCAUUAACAUGUUAAAAAGAAAAAUAUUAUCCCAUUAUGCAGUAGGAGUUGGCUGAUCUUUUUUCCUUACAUGGGAUGAUCUAAAUGAUGAUGGGAGUUUAUUUAGUUUGGCUACCACAUUUGUCAUGCGAUUAUAGAUUUUUUUAGUUCUAUGAAAUCGAUAAUUUUGCGCAGAGAGAUAUACCGCUGUUCCGCAGCAACGCGCGAGGACUCAUCUAGUAAUAUUUAGGAAUGGAGGGAGUACUAUGUAAAGAGUUAGGUGUCGCACGGUGAUAGUGUGAGGUGGGCCAUGUAAUCACUGAGCCUGCAUGUUUUCACUGCUCUUGCACUCCUUCGCUGUAAGAAUGGAGAAAAUUGUAAUCUACUACCUCCUUUCGCCGAAAGCGUGGGACAUCCAGCAGUCCUACCACCUCAGUAAUAAAGACCAAUGAGCCGUCAAAUCACAUAGACCCAGCAGUAAGUUGGAUGGACGAAGCAACCAUCACUCUUGCGCGAGUGAGAGGUCGCGUCUGCUCUGCCCGGGCAUGAAUGCGGCACCGAUUCUUUGGAGCGGUGCUGACCGUUUCGGGCAGGAAGCGCGCGCGGGCGAUGGAGGGGCUUUGGGUGGGCCAGGCUGGUUAGGAGCGGGCGUGGCAUCUGUCCGCAUGUCCCUACCGGACAUGCCUGGAAACGAGAGGAUGCACCGACUCUCGCGGCUAAAAUCGUACACUACACACCAUAUCUCUGUAGGAGUAGGUCGAUCUGUCGCACUCUCUAACACACACAUGCUGUUAAACACACACACGCACACACACACACCUUGGUCCCGUUGCACCUUCUAACGUGACUUAUUACACCUAGACGGAGGGAGUAGUAAGUAUACGAGAUACGGUGGCACACUGACUUAAGUCGAAUACAAGUGCCCAAAAUUUGUGUGCAUGUUAUAAUAAGGAUUCACUUAAAAUAGUACGUGAGCGAACAGAGGGAUCAAUUGGACAGUGUUCCCGAGCAGUAGCGAGAUGUGUGAGGUAGUAAGAUACACCGUUAGCGCUUUUAAUUUUUCUUAUUAAUUUGUUUGUUUCACCCUCUAACUGGUGGGACCCAACGUACUACGUGGAGAGAGGUAAGGUGACUAAGGCUGCAUUAUUUCUGCAUCACUAUGGAUAGUCUUACCACCAAAACCACAUGACACGAUUAUGAUUGAAAUCGUAAUGACUCCCACACACACACACACAAAAAAACACGGCAUGCCUAUCACACGAAUGCAGGAAUGUAUAAAAGGUUAUUUUCCUCUCGUUGAACAUAACGGGAGGGUUGUGUAGCUGGUUAGCCUGUUCGCUCAUCAAACUUGAGGUCUCGGGUUUGAUAAUUACACUUGAGCAUAAUUUUUGCCAGGAGGAUCCUUUGACUUGUCAAAAUGUUUUCUAGGGUUUGCACGCUUCACACUCUCUCUCCAGUAUAUAUAUACACGCUGGAUCCUCAGCGCUUGUAGUUGCUCUCUUCACACUCUCUCGCCCUCUCUAGAUCUAAACAAGACUUCGUUGGCCUCUCUCUCCCCUCACUGCUGCUCAAAGAGACGGCAGGAUCCAUCCGCCGGGAAGGGAAGGAGGCUUAACGCUGUCGCCGUCGGCGAGGGAGGGAAUCCACUACUGGCGCUGCUAUUCACUUUCCACCCAGCGGUGGUGCGGGAGGGCCUCCGACCCCUUCUUCUUCGCCGUCGUCCCGUCGCCCACGAAACCACACCCCAAGAACCUUAAGGUAUAUUUUACUUACUCCACAUGCAUUGCUCUAGCUGCAUGUAUACCAUGAAUCUAGGACGUGGUUCAAAGAGAAAAGGAGUGGGGGAAAGUAGUGGGAAAAGUUGUAUAUAGCAUGAAUCUAGGACAUGGUUCAAAGAGGAAAUGAAGGGGGAAAGUUUUAUAGCAUGAAUCUAGGACGUGGUUCAAAGAGGAAAGAAAUGGGGGAAAGUAGUGGGGAAAGUUGUAUCGCAUAAAUCUAGGACGUGGUUCAAAGAGGAAAGGAAGGGGUGAAAGUACUAGUUCAAAAAGGAAAGGAAGGGACAAGGCUGUAGAGUUUGAGCAGGACUAGAUUUGCUACGCUCACAUAGGGAAAGGUGUCUAAAGAUAACAAAACUGGAACCAACACAAAUAUGCUCCUUGGUUGUUUGUUCUUUGUUGCAACAGACUGUGCAUGACCACAGUACAUCGGUAGAUGCACAUGGUGUUGGUGCGUCCACUGUCCCAUGCAACUCAUUAGCUGUUGUUAAUCUAAGGCCCUGUUUGGUUAAAAACUCCCUAGUCCUUACCUGCUUGGUUCCAGGGACUAAACAUGGACUAGAGGUUAUUAAAUGACAUGAUAAAAGACCAUGUUACCCCUAGUAAUAAACUAAUAGAAACAAGGUGCGAUGCGUGGCAGGGGCAACUGUUGGAAAAAGUCCCAAAAAGACUCCCUUGGGGUCUUCUUUGUUUAGUCCCAAAUGCCCACUUUUAGUCCCGAAAAGUCCCUCCUGUUUGGUUUAGAUGUGACUGACACGGAGUUUUUUUAGUCCCUACACCAAAAUGUCCCUGUAAACAAACACCCUCUAAUAAUGCCGCUGGAAAAUUGAUGCAAUGCCACAGUUAAAAGCAAAUUACAUGUUUAACGUAUUUUAUUGUUAAUAUAAUCUCUAUGUUAAUAUUAAUCAAUGCCACUGUUUUAGAAAUGCUACUGUCUUGCUUUCUUUCCCAUUUAGAUAAGGUAGAUGCUUCUUUUUGUUAGCUUCUGUGUCAUCCACCGUUAUUGACCACUAAUUGUUUCCUUUGCACCGCUGUGUAAACAGGGUUAUCUACUUCACCUCGUUGCCAUUGUGACCUUUUGUUGCACUACACAAAACACUUUUGUUUUAAGAGUGUUUUGUGCAGUUCAACCAAAAUGUCACACCGACAAUGUUGCUUGAUUGCUUGAUCUUAGUGGAACUACACAAGAGGAGAUCUUACUUCCUAUCCGUUAAGGCGAAUUUGGUUCAGAUCUUCUUCUUGUGAGUUGUUUGAAUUCCGCACCAUGAGAUGUCAGUACUAGCCUUCUUUCACAUGAUUCUACAGUGUGCUUUCAUAUGUUGUGCUACUUGUACGAUAAUGUUGCUUGAUUUUAGUGAACUGCACAAAUGGAGACAAGACUUCCAAUCUGUAUGUGCACCGUAAUAUCCCAUUGAGGUAAGAUAAGGAUAUUUCACAACUGCUGGCCUGUAUUUUUCCACUUUCAUCGUAAAGUUAAGUUUAGUACUAUAAUUGUGCUCCCUAAUUGACAUGCCAAAUCUUACAUUGAAGGUGAAGCUUGUGUGUUAUUGAACCAAGUGAUGAAGGGGAAGAACAAGCGGAAGAAAAACAAAAAUCAACUCCCGGUGCUGUAAUGAAGCACUGGAAUUGUGAUGACACAAGUAAUGAUAUAGUUUUGCAUCUUAAUUUAUUGCUAUGGCUGGAACGAGCAAUUGUUUUGCCACUGAUUUGAUGCCAUACGUAAUUAUCUCUACUUGUGCAAACAGGGAUCUUCUUUGAAGAUACCAUAUAUUUUAGUGGAACUGCACAAAAAGAUGUUGGAAACAUUAAACUAAUCAAGGAGUAUAUAGUAAGCAUAGCCACCAUAGUAGAUAGCAACAUAUGGUUCCGGAGAAAUGCUUGAUCUGUAUGCUCUACACAACAAGCCUCCUGACAAAGGUUGGUACUCGCCCACUAAUUCAUCCAUAUGAUUGAGCUUUGUCAUCUCUAUUGGCGUUGUGCUACUGUUUAGAUACUGUCAUGAAAAAGUGGUAUUAUCCUUGAGAAGUGCUUCAUCUGUGCUGUUUUAAAUAUUUCCUUUCCUUUUUUUCGAGCAAAUAGGGAUGCUAGGAUUUAGUUGUCCUCUUGUCUUUGCACAAUAGGAUCAUCUUCCUCUGAAGAAGAAUAUGGAGUACGUGAAGUGACUAGUUCCGAUUAUGCCAGGAUGAAGAAGCCCUGUCUAUCUUCUCAUCAGAAGGAGCAGUUGAAGGAUGGUUACAUUACUCCCCACAAGGCCAAACUAACUUCAGCUCACAAGGACUGACAAAUCUCCAUAUUUUUGCUGUGAUGCGCGAGUACAAUGUUGUUCUAGGAUUCUCAUCAGAAGGAGCAGCUGAAGGAUGGUUACAUUACUCCCCACAAGACCAAACUAACUUCAGCUCAGAAGGAUUGACAAAUCUCCAUUUUUUGCUGUGAUGCGCGAGUACAAUGUUGUUCUAGGAUUCUUUCUGGUGAGUUCCAUUUUUCUAAAAGUGUGCUCUACAUGGACCAUGUAGGUGCCUAUUUAAACUAUCAAUUCAUAGUACAUUUUGCUUUAUACUAAUCACUUUUUUUGUAUUUGUGCAAACAGGGGUGAUCAGCUUGAUUUCAAUGGGAACUGCACAAAAUGUUCAUGAAUACAUUAAAUCAUUCAUUUCCACCACAAGAAAGGAGGUGCCGAUAAGUUCAAGGUGUUGCAACAUAUAAGGGCGAAAUCAUACAAGCUAUGUGUGAAUUUGGUUGAUUUUGGUGGAACUGCACAAAAAAAAAACA
RNAcentral lists this long non-coding RNA (57924 nucleotides) under Triticum aestivum (bread wheat). RNAcentral's name for it is "long non-coding RNA (TAES_LNC026823)". Lineage: Eukaryota; Viridiplantae; Streptophyta; Magnoliopsida; Poales; Poaceae. The record is from RNAcentral.